CGACUUGAGGUUUCUUAACCAAUCCAGCUGCAGCACCUUCAGGCUAGGGAAUGCCUCCCGGCAGAAACUGAAACGGACCUCUUCACCAACGAACGAGUUAGACAAUAGACGUAGGGUGGCCAGGUUUGGUAGACUCCCAAGGACGUGUAUGGCUGCAUCAUGCUCAGAUAUCCUCGACCCCAAUAGCUUCAGCUUCACUAGAUUUUUUAGGCCCUUGAUCCACUCCGGCAGUUUAACAAGCUUACCUUUCAACUUGAGGCUCUGCAGGUGUUCUGGAGGUAAUGACAGGCCAUCCAAGCAGCCUCGUAAACCUGUCUCUCCGGAUGACUGGAGUGACAAUGACUCCAGGCUGCUGAGACGAGCAAUUGCUGAACACAACUCUUGACCAUUUCUCUUGCUGAUGCCAAUCACUCCUAACUUGCGCAACCGGGUGAGCUUUCUUAUAUCUUGUAGAACAACCUUCCCCACUGAGACGUCCACAGUACGCAGUGUGUGCAGGGCCUUCAGCUUCCAAAUCCCUCUUGGUACUUCAACACCACCUGGAUUUCGUCCUCCUGCCGCAUAAUAAGGUAAUACGCUGCAACAGAAUGCAGUGCAUACAUCACGCCUGCUAAUUGGUGCUUUAUCCCCAACUACACUAUUCUCUGUGAGACGAUUAGGUGCACAACAUGCAAGACAACAAAUCGCAGACUGUGAAGGCAAACUCAUUAGCGACUGAUUAUCUGCAUGUACAUAUAUAUCAUAAUGUCUCCUUCCUACGUUGCUAGCAAGAAUUCGUUGCAUCUUCACAAGCUUGGUGAUGGUCCUUGGUAGCUUCAUUAUGCUUGUAGCUGAAAUAUCUAGUGUCUGAAGUUGUCUCAGGUUCCCCAACGAAUUUGGCAGGUGAAAUAUGCUAUUAUGACCCCUCAGAGAGAGAUAUUUUAGGUGUACAAGUUUCCCAAUAUGCUGAAGGUGAUGAUCAACGAGACCGCUUGCGUCUUCCAAAUCCAGCACUCGUAGCAACCUCAUCUUUUCAGAAAUGUAAAAUGACCUCCAAUUUCCAAACACUGUCAGUGAUCGUACAUGGGACAAGUCUACUAUAUUCUCAAACUCACACAGGUCCCCCUUCCAAUUGCUGCNUGCUUGUUCAGCCAUCUCAGGAUAUUGCUCAUCCAAAUUUACGGUCUCCUUAAAUACCUGAAAUCCAAAUCAAUCAAGUCAUUUAGUACAAGAAGAAAGAAAGCAUAUAUGCACCUUUGUCUAACAUAUUAUUUUAUAUGGGAAUAUGUACUACAAAGAUGUAAAAGGGAGACAAUGCUACUUUUUGUUGGAUAAUAAGUUUCUCCACCGUCCAUUUUUUUAUUUUGUAUAUCUUCAUUUCUGUUCCUAUACCUGCAUUGCACUUUCCCAUCAUGCUUCUACUUCUAAAGCUACACCUCGUCUCAGUGCUAAUUGUUAUUCUUGCUACUGAUUUCAUUGGACAUCAGUUACCUCACAUAGCUACAGAAGUAGGCAUUAACUUGAUAUGAUUGGGCCUUUUAGUUAAUGGUUUGUAUUUGUCAUAAUCAUAAUGCCUGAAUGUUGUUACUACAUGGGAACCUAAGGAAACAAGUGCUGGGACGACAUAUACAGUUGCAUAUGCACAGAAUAAUUCUGGAGGCAUUCAAGGAGAGAGCGCCAUAACAACAAACAUACCCAAUAAAGUGUGAACUAUUGGAUUUCUUAGAAAACAAUCCAGCCGCUGUGUUGCUCCCAGUUUAAUGCGGGCGACUCAGGUGGGACUCCGCCCAGCUAGGUUUAGGGUUCCCUUCUACACCUCACCCCGCCUGCAAUCGCAUUGUGCGCUCCUGCCACUGGAUCCGGAUCUUUUCUGAUCUGGUAAACCAGGGAGGGGUGUGGCAGGGCUUGGGCACCGAGGCAGCGGCCCUUGGUGGUGAGCGUUCUGCAAUAGUGAUGUCCGGUUGCUCUGGCUUUGAGGGCGGAGGGGCGGUUGUGAGGCGUUGGCUCAAGACAAGUUGUGCGUUUUUUGUGGUCGGACCGGGCUGGCAGCAGAGGGGGCGAUAGGAGUGAAGAAGUGUAGUUGACGGUGGACUUCCUCUGCAGCAGGGGCUUGCCGACUUGUUGGCAUCGUCUCCGGGAGCAUGGAAGUUCUGCAGGGUAACUGAGGCCUGCCUGACUGCCUGCUCACUGUGCAUGUCCAUUGGAUACUCCAAGCUUUCUAGAUUAUCUUUUGCUGGCAUCUUGGCAUCAUCAUUUGUUGGACAUGCUGCUGGGCAGAGGGUGAAAACCCAAGCCCGAGUCUUCUGGGCCGAGAAUUAGUGGCAGACUUCCUUCUUCUUGAAGACGCCGCCUUGCUGCUUCAGAGGACCUUCUCAUCGGUGGUUGUGGUGUGGUGGCUGCAGUGUGCUGUGGUUCUGUAGGCUAGCUGCAAGGCGGUAGUCGUCUGGCUAUGGUGUGAUCUGCUGUGCUUGGUGGCCCGAAGCGCUGGGAGGCAAGGGCUUUUCUACGGUGUCCAUUGACUAGGCACACAACUAGCUCGGGCAGCCCUGAAAUUUCAGAGGAGCUUCAUAUGAAACAUUUUAAUUUCUCCACAAUGCAAGAAAAAGUAUCCCACAUGCUGAAGCAUGCCAAUAUUUUAGAUGAUAUAUUUGAGUUGUUAGCCAUUCAUGAGUUUCAAAGAAAAUAAUUUUUCCCAUCUGAUCAGAUGUACUGCCAGCUACUAGAAUUCCUAGUCCAAUGAAAUAGAUUAUCUCAUUAUAUACUUGUAUGAUAUUCUGUCCGAUCAACACUAUUGUAGUAAACUAGAGAUAUAUGCUAUCCGAUAGAAGUUAAUAGCAAUGCUGCCAUGCUACAAGCAAAUGUUGUUACAUUACACAUAAUCAUAUUGCAGGACCUCCCUUUUUCUCUUAAGUAACUAUGUUGUUCAGUUAAGGAUCGUUUCAAUUCAUGUAGUUUAAAUACCUCCCUUCUAAUUAUGUUGUUAGCAUGGCAGGAGAUACGGAAAUAAACUCGAUUUCAAGAAAUAAAAAUAUCGGAAUGCUCCAAUGUAUCAAUUUGUACUUUAAAGAGGCAUGGUUUCCUUUUAUUUAAAUACAUAAAUACAGUUAUAGUUUUUCAUUAUAACUUGUACUAUUUGCAGACUUUUCUAGAAACUCCCAUAUAUACGUGAGAAAAAGGCAAACCACAAACCAUCUAAGUCCACAUUGACUUAUCAUAUGCAAAUCUGGAAGAACUAAUUAAGUGACUUGAUUUAAAGAUAACUGGGCCAGAGACAAAGUCGACGAGAGAGUAUGAGGGUGGCUAAAGAUUCUUAUGAGCAAAUUGAAUAUUUUUCUAUUAUUAUUGAAGCAUGUUUUUAAUUGCAGUACAUCUGGGUGGAUAAAAAUGCUAAAACAACAACUUCAUUAACGAGGGGAAAAUGCCUAUGCACACCUAUUUGUAUCUUAUAAGAACAUGUUGUACCUUUAUUUCUGCCUCUACUAACUUAUUUUUCUUUGAUAGAAAAAGAGGCAUAUCAUACUUCAUUUGACAGCUACAAAAUCCACAAUCAUUUGGUUGGACCGAACUAUAAGUAAAUAGUUUUUUUAAAGAUCCAGCAUGUUGCUGGCAUUUAAAUGAUUUAGCAGAAGGAACUAAACAGACUAUUAUGUCUCCACCUUAUUGUAAUCGUAGUUUAUGUAUUCUGUAGUCCUUCGUAUUUAUAUUUAUUAUUCUAGCUAUUGCGCAAGAUUUCUAACAAAUGCCAAUUCAAAUUUUCUAGUGGGCAAAUUGAUUUUAUAAUUCUGUUAUACGUGCUCGUAAAGAUAUCGUUUGUGAAGUUUAAAGCAAUAAUAUAAAUAAGAAGGAAAGGAUUAACAGAACAACUAAUUGAGCAUGACACUACUUCAUUUUUACCUUUUUGGUGAAGAGGGUGCAUGCGUCAUCAGGGCCCAGUUGGUUCAGCUUGUAUAGGUUUAAAUCAUCCUUUGAGCAGUGCUUGGCAAUAUUCUCUUCCCUUGUGGUGACUAUUACGCAGCUUGCUGCCGUUUCUGGCAAAUACAUUUUUAUAGCAUUCCACUCUCCAAUGGACCACAGAUCAUCAAGAACAAGCAAAUAUCUCUUUCCUUCUAAACAUCCCCUUAAAUCUCUCUCAUUGUUAUCUAUGAAUUGCAUAGUUAAGCUCUCAAGGAUUGUUUCUGAACUGAAAGGACGCAUGACUGUAACACAAGCACGCUUAUCAAACAUGCUACUAAUCUCUUGGCUUUGAUAGAUAUCUCUCACUAGUGUGGUUUUUCCAAUACCACCCAUUCCCCAUAAGGAGAUCACAUGAAAUUGCUGCAGAUCUCUAUUUCUGAUCUGUUUGAUGAUUUCUUCUUUAUCAUUCCCUCUCCCAAUGAGACGAGAUUCCUCUAGAGUAGCUAUUGCCUCUGUGCGAGUGAUAAUGUUCUUGUGUGCAGAGCUGUCAACCUAAACACAAGCACACGAUUAAUAAUUUGAUAUUGACUUCGUUUCCACUAGCACAUAUUACUAUCACAAUUCUGAAGUAAACUUUCCUUAAAUUUGGAAAGGUUCAAACCAUUAAACUAAUGGAACCGUUAAUGGUGUCCCUAGAACUCAUUCAUGCAUAACUCUGAGGUAUACUCCGGGGAGUAUGUACUCUCAUGCCUCACGUAACAUUUUUAUGCUAAGGUAGCAUGAUGGCCAGCAAGAGAAGCUCGCCACCUUUAGUGUCCAAGCAGCCCGCUGCCACUUCUGGCGGAGGCAUGUAUGGCGAAGGUGAUGGAUUCAGAAGUGUAAGAUUUUCACUUCCGGUACAUGAUGCCCUGCCUAGUAACUAAAGAAAAAUGUAAUCUAACAAAACAAUAAAUUCGGCUAAUCAGGUUAGUUGCUGAAAAAUAAUGUGCCAACAGAAAAUUAAGGGUAAGGCGAGGUUAGGUCAAUUGGCCAGCCUAGUGUGGGACGGCCAUGUUCCUUUCCGUAUGUCCUUUUGUGUGACCUGAGAUAAGGAUGCACUUGAGCGUCAUAUAACCCAACACGCUUGGCAUGAGCUGUUUAAAUGAGGCCACUAAUAUUAGAGCAGAUGGCAUUCUUUACAGUGGAUCGUGAAUCGCACUCGAGGAGAUUCUCUCAUUUUGUGGACGCAAGAAUCUGGGGCAACUAGGAUGCAAAAUGCAGAUACGUCCUUCUGUGCAACACUCUGGAGACAGAAUAGCAAAGCUUCUAGUUAUAUUCUAUGACCUACAUCAUCUCUCCAGUAGCAGUCUACACAGUUCUAGCCACCAGCAAUGGCACGAGUGGUCCUCUCUUAUGCCAAUUCUAAUUUUGGUUUGGCACCAUAGUUUGCUUGCUCUCGUUGGUGCCGAAGAAGAUGGAAAUAAUAUAAUUUAUGGAAGAAGUGAUUGUUUCUGACCAGUGGCCCCUAGAUAAGUACAGUAAGCCAAAUAACUCCAUGCAAGAGUUGAGGACUUGAGCUAGGAAACGAAUUGAGUAUACGGUAUAGUUGUAACCUCUCGAAUUAUUUGCAUGGUUAAGAAUGGAUAAGUCUAAGAAAGAGAACAAGCAACCGGAUGAUGGGGAAGGGAGGGGGGAUGAACAAACAUCAAAUGGAGUCCAUUUUGCACAUAGGGCAUGGUACAUUAAGGUUACUAUGGGCCUGUUCGGAACUCCUCCUGCUCCGUGAACUCCACAAGCGGAGCCUGGACAAACACCACAGCGCAAAGCCGGCGUGUGAGUUCCAAACAGGCCCUAUAUAUCUCAUCUCGCGUCGCCUCCCGUGGGCGAUGCCAGGGGAACCAAACCCUAGCUCCGCCAGGUCCCUCCCGUCUCCUCUCCUGCCACCGUUGUUGCCGGCCUAGUCCAUAGUGGCGGCGGGCCCGAUGCCAAAGCGAUAGGGUGGGUGGUGUGUUGCGGGAUAUCCUGGAGGUGGCAGGGUGACUCUGGCGUUGGAUCCGCCAGCAGCAGGUAGGGUGGUGCCCCUUGCCUGUGCGGCGGCAGCCAGAUCCAUAGUCGACAUGGUGCUCUUCCCUUCGGUGGAGUAUAUGCUUGGAGAUGGGUGGACGAAAGCAGCGGAUCUGGCAUCCCGUCCAGAUCCGCCCGGCUUGGUUUGUUCCAACCGGCGGCGCGUGGAGGACCGGUGAGGGGCGGCUGGAGGCUCCCUGCCGCCAUGCCGACGACGGCUUUAAUCUUCAUGGCGAGGCUCCGUACAGUUCCAGUCAGGUGCGAGAUCGGGGGGCCGUGACUUCCGGUGAAAAUCGUGCCGACUAUGGUCAUGACGGACGAUGGCGACGUCUGUGACGUCGUUCCCUUCUCAAGGCAUCGUUGUUGCAGGUCGAGGCACCCCACUCAUGAUGCUAUGGGGGAAACCCUGGAUCUGGGUCUAUCGGAUCAGACGGUGAUGGCACCUACGAUGCUGUUGUCCCUCCUAGAGGCAUCGUUUUGGAGCAAGUGCUAGCUGGAGGGGACAAGAGGAGGAGCGGUGUUACAUCUACCGCAAGGCCGACGGCGGAUCCCGGCGGCAUGGCGCCACGGAGGUUCGGCGACGGGCGCGUGUGGACGGAUACGUGCAGGAUGUUGGCGUUGUCUAGCGCCGUGGUGGCAUCGACGACAGGCCAGGCAAGGUCGAUGAGACAGUUCCUGCACCGGAGAUGGACCGGUGGAAAGAUGGCGCGGGCAGCCUCUCAGAGUGUGUCGGUCCAGUUUGUGACCCAAUGCCAGUACAUGCCUGGGCUGGGGCAUCUGGCUUUAGAUGUUAGGUUUUGGUACAAUGUUUGUUUGGUAUUUGACUCGGAUAUUCGGCACCCCUUCAUCAAAGGGAUAAGAGUAGCAACAGGUGUUGCCUAGAUGGUGGCUUCAGGCUUACUGAUGCAUUACUUUGUAUGGUCUUUAUGAAUAAUUAAUUAAAUGGCCGCAGGCGUCAUCCAGAUGCAAAGGCCCGGGGUAUAUACUCUUUUUCCAAAAAAAACUUGGUUGUAUCAUACUCCCUCCGUUUCUUUUUACUCUGCGUAUAAGAUUUGGUCAAAGUCAAACAACAUAAAGUUUGACUAAAUUUAUAUCAAAAAAUAUGAAUAUCUACUAUAUUAAAAUUAUAUAGUAUGAAAAUAAAUCUCGUGGUGCAUCUGAUAACAUUGAUUUCAUAUUGUGAAUGUUGAUAUUUUUUAAUAUAAAGUUAGUCAAACUUUACAAAGCUUGACUUUGACCAAACCUUGUAUGCAGACUAAAAAGAAACGGAGGGAGUAAGUGGAAUGUAUAUAAAUCCUAGUGAAAACUUCCAUGCAAAUAAUUAUAAGUCGAAUGUAUAUGUGGAUAAGUGUGGUUAUCCUAUUAACGUAUAUAAGUGGAGUUCAGAUUAUUUCACAUGGAAGAGGAAACAAUAUAAUUAUUUUUUAACUAAUCUGUAUAGAAUGAUUAUUAACCUAAAACUUCCAGUGCAACACAAUCUAGUUAAUUAUGUUAACUAUUAGUUGAGAUACUGAAAAGAAAAUAACAACAAACAAUUUUCAGGACUUCAGAUAUUACCUUCUUGUAGAAAGCAUAAAGAGACCGAUCAGAAAAUAGCUUCUUACGCACAAGAGCUUCAUCCUCUGCUCCCAUGCAUAAGCUUGCAACUUCAACCUGCUCAGUGAAUACUAUGAUUCGGCUUCCUUUCUUGUUGUCUGGGAAACAUGUUUUGAUGCAAUCCCACUCUCCCAUGGUGUGUAUUUCUUUGAUUACAAUUAGAUAACUCUUGUCAUUCAAAUAUCUCUUGAACACAUGAGCCAAACCAUCAUCUUCUUUCGGCGUCACCAUCGUCUUCAAAACUUGGGCCCCAAUGGUUGUUUUUCCUCCUUCUCCUGUCUCUUGAAAAGAAUUAUCGUAUAUUUGCCUAACAAUACUUUGAAUGAAAUCUGUCUGAUUGAACGGACACAUCAAUGUGAUGCAGGCACAACAAUCGAAAUUGUUUUGUAUCAUGGGAUCUUCGUAGAUAUUUUUUAUAAUGGAUAACUCCCCGGAAUCAGUGCUACUUCUGCCCCACAACGCUAUCACUCGGAGUGCAUCAUCCCCGCAAUUGAUCAACUUGACAAGAUCCACUUUUGCUUUAUGCCGACGCAGCCUUGCAUCGUCGGCGGCAGACAUGGUCGCACUGGAGAUGGUAGGCUGCCCAACAACGGAGGUAGGCUUGGAGCUAGAGCCCUUGAUGAGGUGGUAGCGUUGGUUCCUCUGGCUGACCUCCUCCACCUCAGCUCUGAGGUCCUUCAUCAGGUUUGCCACAUAACGCCGAGCUAGCAGCUUGCGAGAGAGACACCACCAAGACUGCUUCUCCAGACGGACAGCAAUAUCCAGGAGGCAGUCCUCGACAGAGUAGGACACGUCCCGGACUUGUUUCACCCAAGUCCUGACCACACUGUUGUCGUCUCGGUCGUUGUGCGCAGCCAUCAGGAAUGACUGCAUCAUCUCGAGUUCGCCCUUGAUGAAGGAUUGGUCACGCUGGACACCAAGCUGCAGAGCAACCUCCUCGGCCACAGCCGACUGGGCGUAGUUGAGCGCGCCGCUCAACACGGACUUGCCGAUGCUGAUGGCCGUCGCCUCCAUUUUUUUUUUUACUUUCAAUCAAUUGGUUUUUACGGAUAGAGGUUGUACUGCAAGCAAACAAGAUGAAUUGGAUCGAUCCGUGUUAAUGGCUGCGCUUGAGUUAAAUCUGAAGAGGCAAAUAACAAUAACAAAGAGGAAACAGAGCAUACCAGCUGGUGUUGUGGACGGCAGCCUCGUGAGAGACCAAAACGGGGUUGAAAUCCAAGGCCGUGAAUGCAGCCUCAACACCAACCGACCAAACUUGAGAGAUCUGUCGGGCGAAGCAUAAAGAUAAUUUAUUACAAACUAAUUAGCAAACUAUCCACUAGAGCAGAGCGUGCUAAGAAAGGUAAUUUACGAUUCAGGAAGUAUAAUUAACAGAUGGCGACAUGUACCGGUUAAGAUGAACGGGGACGCGUGAUUCAGAGGAUAGAUCCAGCAGCAGAGCAGACUAGAGGGCAAUAGAAAUUACCAGCCCAGGAAGAAGGGAUGCCCGUCCGCCGUGGCCUCAGAUGGGGAAGGAAGGAGGCACGGUGGGGGAAAGGAUUCGAGAUAAAGCCGGGCCAUGGAGUGAGAUCCCUUUUCUUCUUGGCGCUUCCUCCGUCCUCCCGGAAGAAUCGAAGACGAGGAGGGGGAAAGAACAAAGAAGCUUCAUUUCUUGUUGCCGCAGCAUACGCAUCAUCAUGGACGCUGGAUUGCUCCCUUGGUAAGGACGGAUUCGAUUCUUCCGGUCCAUUCUCCACGGCCUUGAGGAGGAGACGGAUUGAUUGGAUUGGAUUCCAAUGGAAUUGCAGCCUGGGAGCAGCUCUGCAAUGGCGUGGAGCAGCAGCAAGAAAUCACAAUCGCCGGCGGCGGAGGGGAGGCUUGUUCGGUUGGGCCGGUCUCCACACAACAGAUUCCAGCCACAAAAUUGGUCCAGUGUUAUUAGGGAGCACGUCACUCGGAGCGUUCUUAAACCGCCUCCACCUGGCUCGCUCUCAGUGUCCUCUCCGAUUUGUUUUCGCACACGUUUCUGUCUUUUUAGUUUGGGUUUUUUCGGGGUUUUUUAUGUUUUGGUUUUUCAUCGGUGUUUUUUAGCUUUUGGAUCAAAAAAAUUACGUUAAAAAAACGUUUUUUAUGAGAGAUAUGGUUUUGCUUUCGCGAGAGCCACGUCCGUGCCUUUCAGAAAGGAAAAAUACAUGUUUUCUAAUUUUUUUUUGCGGGAGGGAUGGCCGUGACUUUUGAAAAGGGAAAACAUGUUUUUUUUUGUUUUUUGCGAGAGGUACGGUUUUGCUUUAACGAGAGGCAUGGUUUUUCUAUCACGAGAAGCACGGCCAUGCCUCUCGAGAAGGGAAAAAAGAUGUUUCUAUUUUUUUUCUUUUCACGAGAGACAUAAUUUUGCAAAUGAUACGAAGAAUUUUAUAGAAUAUAUUUUUAAGUGAUACUAAGAAUUUUAUACUAUGUUACAAACAUUUCUCUAACUGUGUGAACAAAUUUUAAAUUUCAUGAACAUUCUUCUAAAAUAUGUUGGAACAUAUUUUUAAACACCUCGGAUUUUUUUUAAACAUGUAUGCGAAUAUUCAUCAUGAAAAAAAUUCAUUUCAUAAAACAUUCUUCAAAAAUGUGUUGGAACUUAUUUUUAAACACACUGGAUUCUUUAAUCAUGUAUACAAAUUUUACAUUCCAUGAACAUCCUUGUAAAAUCUCUCAAAGACGACUGAUUUUUUUCUCUGAAAUGUUAUGUGACACACUAACAGAGAAGGAAACUGACGCAUGGCAGGUAGAGCAAUGUAACCUUGGAGGACUUGUGGGCAAAUCCAAAGACUUGAUGCUUCAUACAUGCAGCUGUUUGCCGUUGAUGUCCACCACUUGUGUCAAACAGACGACUAUGAUCAACCGCCAUCGUCGCCGUCGCCGCCGCCGCCUUGUCUUGAUGGUUCUGCACUUGUAGAUUGGUGGAUGAAACCCACAGGAACAUCUGCUCCGAACCUCCUCGCUCACUAUCUGAAUCUGAGUCUGACUAAACAGUAAAUAACAGUAAAUAAUGCUGGAAAUGCUGACCUAAAAUAAAACAUGAAAAUGAGUAGCUCUGUUUCCUAAUAUAAAACAUGAAAAUUUGUUACCGAUGACUAAACUGUGCUCAAAGAGUGACUACGGACAAACAAAGGGAGUGGCGCACGCACGCAGUUGGUGAUAGAUUGACUGAAACCACACUACUGAAAAUUCUGCCAACAACAAUUAUUUUGGAACAAGAAAAUACAGUGCUUACAUUCUUGCCUCACAAACGAAAGCCAAGGUGUAUGUGCUUAAAUUCUGCCAAGGAGGAGCCGUACGUGCAAAAAUCAACACCCAAAAAAAAAGUCUGAAUAUAGAUCCCGCUGCUGAUUCGUCGUACGUAUCUUCCCAUAGUGAUGGUGUUGCGUCUUGACAGCUCGCUAAUCUCUGCGAAAGGCAUUUCUCCAUGUCUUGGGCUUCAGCAGAGUAGGCUCUGUUCACAUAUGACGUCACAACGAAUUUGUAAGUUUACACUGGAAAAGCACGAGGAACCAAGAAUUUACGUCAUGCUGUUACCAUUAUCUGUGACUAGUUGAUUACCAAUGUUGUACUACUCUCUAGUGCAGUAUAGUACUAAUUACCAAGUGUACACGUCACGCGUAUGUAACACAUGCAUGUUUGCUGUUAUACUGAAAAAGAAGAAAAUCAAGACCCUCUUCCUUUAAAUUACGUACUACCUAGCUAGCUGGUUAGAGACUUUGGAUCCAAACCGAGUAGUAGUAUAUCUGCAACGAUUCUGAAUUUGUUGUUGAAAUGUGACGAGCUAACAGAGAAGGAAACUGACGCGUGUGUGUACGUACCUUGAUAGCGGGCAUCUAGAUCUUUAUCCUCAAGGCUGCUUACACGCUGCUGCAGGCCUGCAGGGAGCCUCUUUAUGCCGGGACAGUUUUCAAUCCUUAGAUACCUGAGAGAUGCGUAUGCUUGCGGCCCAUCUGGUACGGAUGACAGGGUCUUGCAAUCCCGGAUGUGGAGGCCCUCCAGUGAUGGGAACUCUCCCGAGUGAGAUUCCACUAAUCUCAACUCACAGCACCGAGAAACACUAAUAUACUUGAGGGAUGGGGGAAGACUGAGGACCCCUGUUAAGCUCUCACAUCCUGAUAUGUAUAUCCCUUCUAAACAUGGACAGGGGAAAUGUUCCACCCUGGCUACGGCUGAUGAUGGUGAUAAGACCUCUGAAUGUAGAGGUGACCCAUGAAGAAUCGAUGGUGCUGAUGCUGACUCUCCCUGCUGCUGCAGACUCCUGCUGAAUAUGGACUUGAGCUUACUGCAAUCAAUAAUUGUCAUAUUCCUCAGGGAUGCAGGGAGUUUGAAGACAUCUACCAUGCUUUCACAAUCCCAUAUCUCGAGAGACUCGAGACAUGGCAGGAGCUGACUCGAGGGUUCCGAUACUGUUGAUGGCUCAGCAGCAGGAGCUUGUGCGUAUCCAACUAGUUGCUUGCAGUCCAAAAUCACUAGAGUCCUCAAGGAUACCAAGCUUUGAAACUCUUUCUCUGGCCAGUGGACAAGGGCAGCACAAUCUUUAAUCCUCAACUGUUGAAGCUGUUUAAAACAUGCACAUAGCUCAGUUACACCCGACUUGAAGCCAAUUACAUCCAGAUCUGCUAGAGGGAAAUCAUGAUGAUUCCAUUUUCCCCUGGCGUUCACCACUUGUGUAUAACUAUGAUCAUCCACCGCUACCGAGGUUGUUUCCGUGUUUUUACGGUUCUGCAGCUUUAGAUUGGUCAAUGAAGUCAUAUAUCUAGCUACCCACAGGGAUAUCUCUUCCUCACCUCCCUCAAAGUCUAACACGGUCAGCUUUGGCGAUUUAGCAUUCAUUGCCAGCUUUGGACAAUCUGUAACACACAACUUCUCAAGCUGAGGAAACAGUAUCUCUUGUUGCUCAUUUGUUGUUUCCCACAAUCCUUCCAAACAAUCCAGACCUUGUAGUGUAAACUCCUUCAGAUUUGGAAAAGUGAACGAUGUGCUACAACUGAAUAACCAUUGAAGUUUUUUACAAUCAGAAAGAUGGAUCUCAACCAUGUUUUGUGACAUAGCCAUCCAUGUUGGAAAGGUGGUGCCUCCGUAGGAUUCUAUCCUUAUAGCCUGCAGCGCAUCAUGAGGUUCUAGACCCUCAAGCACUCUUUCACCACCACAACAACCGGAGGUCCAUUUUAAUGUCAAUUCUCGGAGUUCCUUCUUGUUUUGGAGAUUCACAGAUUUUGCAUCUUCUUCUGUCACAUUCUCUAGUCGAUGUAUCUGUAGCUCACCACCAAGGUUUAACUGUUGCAACUCUCCAACAGAACUGCACUCAGAGCCAGUAGGACCUGCUACAAAACAUGUAAGUGUCUGUAGUGAAAUGAGUUUUCGGAGAUGACCAGGCAUGUUCCUCAUCUUUGGACAAUUAUGAGUGUAGAGAUGACGGAGGGCAGUCAUAUACUUCAUCUGCCUUGGAAGCCGACGAAGUGCAUAGCAGCCAGAGACAUUCAAUGUUUGCAGAUUGUAUAGAAUGCUUAUAUCUUCAGGAAGUGCUUCGAUAUCACUAUUUGAGAGAUCAAGGUACCUUAAGUGCUGCAGAUGCUUUGAUUUCAAGGGGAAUGAGCUUCUCAAUGUGAAGAGUUGUAAUGCCUUCAAAGAGCUGUAUUUUGAUAAAUGCUGCAGUGAAUGUUCCAUUUUCCCAUCGCACAGAAGAGUCUGGAUUGCUGGAGAUAUUUUCGCCAGAGAAUCAUUCAAAAUAAUUUCUGGUUCUUCACAAGACAAAAGUAAGUGGCGAGCUGUAUCUGGAAGCCAAUCAGUCUGACCUGGUUUCUCAGGUGCGAGAGCACAUUCUUUUUCCAUUGUAGAUAGUGCAACAUCAUGCAUCAGAUCAUGGAUUUUACAUGUAUGUUUGGAAUAAUUAUGCAUCCCCCAGAGCUCGUUAAAUGAGACUCGGACUUUUUUCACAUCCACAAAAAAUGACCUUGAGGCCAGCUCACUGAAAAUCCAUUGGCCAAUUGUCUCAGGACGGACUUCUUUUUGUUCCUGAAUAAAGCCAUGUGCGAUCCAUAGCUGGAUCAGCUUGUCCACAUCAAUUUCAUAAUCCUUGGGAAACACAGCACAGAAAGAAAAGCACUGCUUCAUCUGCGAUGACAAGUCAUUAUAGCUUAGCUUGAGUACUGGUAAUAUUCCAGACUCCUCAGUGCAAAUGUUGCUUCUGCUUGCUAUAGCCUUCCACUCUUCUUUGCUGGUCUUUGUACGCAGCACAGAGCCCAGUGCUGUUGCGGCCAAAGGAGAGCCACGACAUCUCUUCACAAUAUCACCAACCAAUUUCACUAGUUCGGCAGGCCUUUCUUCUUCCUUCUGCAAACCGAAUGCUCUCGUUUCGAUAAUUUCCUUUAUGAAGUGAUCCUCCAACUCUGCGAGAUCGUAGGGUUUCACUGAACCCAUUAUUUUUGUGACACCUCCAUCGCGAGUAGUUGUCAGAACCACGCUACCCUUGGCACCAUGUGUAAGCCGAGCCUUGAGCAUUUCCCACUUAUCGCUCUCUCGGUUCCAUACGUCAUCCAAUACAAGAAGGUACCUACGUCCGCUUAGUCCAUCUUGAAGCCUAUCCAGUGGCCUUUUCUUGGAAGCUGCUUCGGUUGUACUUUUACUGGGAGUUACUGCUUCAACAAUAUUAUUAGCCAAGGAUUCCACCUCAAAGCUGUCAGAGACACAAACCCAUAUCAACAAGUCGAAAUGCUUCUGAAUUUCAGGUUCAUUGUAAAUGAGCCGCGCUAAGGUGGUCUUGCCUAGCCCCCCUACCCCAACGAUGGGAAUAACCAUGAGAUUUUCAUCGUUAGCAUGACCAACUAGCAUAUCAACAAUAUUCUUAGUGUCUUGGCUUCUCGAUCUGCUGAUGAUUUCCUUUGGAUCGAAGAUAACAUGAUCCGUGUGCCUCCAGUCCUUGGAUGCCGGUGCUUGUUGCUGAUAUUUAAACCCAAAGGCGUUCAUCUCAGCCACAAGGACCUCGAUGGCCUGCACAAUCCUACACAGCUUCUUCCCCAUCUUGUCACGGAACACAAAACGGUUGUGGGUGGGAAAGAGCUUCACUGCAUCGAAGCCCAGCUUGCUGUAGUGCCCGUUCUUCUUGGCCUCUCGGCGGAGCGCCUCGUAAUUGAACUCGUCGAAGACCUCAUUUGCCUCGUAGGCUACCCUCUUGACUUCCUCCAGCCAUGCCAUGGCACCAUCUCUGUGGGACGCCGCCUGCUCGGCGUCGGCAAUGACGUCCAGGAUGGCACGCAGCUUGCGCUUGAGCACCCUGUGCUGCUCUUCCAUGCCCUGCAUCACCUUGUACUUGUCAAGCAGGUAGCUGGACGCCUUCUGCUUCACCAUGGACAGCAGCGGCGCCACCACCAUGGUGGCCACCAGCUCUGCCAUCGGAGUGCUCAGACCUCGCAAAUGCACACACGGAGCCACAACUGCAGAAACACACACAGGGCAGAGAAGACAAUGGUGGUGUGAGCAAGCUAGAUCUGCAGGUAAAUAUGCCUCUCAGGAGAAUUGGAAAAAAAAAUGUGAGUACCUUAGCACUCCCCGCGGUGCGAUCCUUGGCGCUGAACCUGGAGAGGGGGGCAGAGAACACGGGGAAUCAGAGCUGCAUUUUGGCCAUUUACUGGAUGUUUGUGUGGAUCAUUUGGUUUUGACAGAUAGGGGUUGUACAGUACAGGAAACGGAUGCUCGGUGUUAAUUGUUGCGCUUAAGCUAAAAUCUCAAGUUGUUAACAAGAAUAGAGGAAACAGAGCAUACCUGGUGUUGUCGACGGCAAGCAGGACUAAAACUGCGGUGAGAUCCAACACCAAACUUGAGAGAUCUGCCGAGCGAACCAGAAAGAUACUUUACAAUCUACAAACAGCAAAAGGCCAAAUGUGCCAACCAAGAUCAGCAAAGACACUUGAUUCAGAGGAUGUGAGGAUCCACCAGAGCAGACUAAGAAAGACAAAGAAAUUUACCAGGACCCGUCACGCGCCUCCAUAUCACUCCUUGUACUGGUCCAGGAGGUAGCUGGACGCGCGCCUUCUCCUUCACAGUGGACAGCAGUGGCUCUGCUACUGGAACACUUGGAGCGACGGGUGCAGAACACAGGGAAACCCAAUUGUAGUCCAGGAUGGAGAAGAGGAAUAUGGUGUGGCCGUGUUAGCAGCUAGCUAGAUGUGCAGAUACUACUUGCUUCUGAGGAAAAUGGAACACAAUGCCAGUACUGAAUUUCGGAUGCUUGCUUCAGAGUAUUGCUUCUGAGAAAAACAGAUGCUUGCUUCAGAGUAUUGCUUCUUUGUAGAAAACAGCUAAGCUUGACUAAAAAGGAUAAGUUGGUUCACACCCUCGUCGUAGGGCAUGACCAAUGCAUAGCCCCAGGAUGAUGCCCCGUAGGCCACGUAGGAUCGGAUGUCAUGAAAAAUAGGUUUGGAUGAAGCAGUGGGAUCCUCUAUAGGAGGUGGGUGCUCGGGGAAAAAAAGUGGUCCGGUGCAUAAGACUAAGAAGGUUGAAGUGAAGAGUAGAGAUACAUGUGUAGUGGGAGUCUUUAUUCUUUAUUCUUUGAUAAGGCCCACUAGUGGUAGCUUGCAUUGAGGGAAAAAAAAUAAUGUAGAUGCUUCAAACUACUUUUUAUCAUGAGGCAUCCGUAUUUAUAUAUCACCAUCGUACAUGUCCGUAGAAAAAGAGGUAUUUAGUUCCCACACAUGGGUGCACACCAAUUAAAGAAAUAGAAGAUGCAGGGACCAAAACACGAACUUGAAAGUUGAAACCACACACCAGUUACCUUUACUCCAUUGAUUUAUAUAAAAAAUGCAAUGCGUUCAGAACUUUUAUUACAAUAGUGUCUCUUUGUUUGAACACUACUCAAAGCAUUCCUAGUAGUGUGUGCAUGUCCUUUUUUUUCCCGGUGGCACUAGUAGCCCCCGGAUCCAUGAUUGUUGGUGGAAGACUUGCCUUCGGAUGAAAAUCCUGCAUCUAGUCAGUGUCGAUGGUAACGGCGUCUAUGGAUGUCGUCUUCCUCCUUGGAGAUACCUCCGUGGAGCUCGUUUUUCUCUUCGUACCUAAUGGCUUGUGGUCUUCGGAUGAAAACCUAAGAUUUGGCUAGGCCAGAUCGGGUGGCGGUGUGGCUCACAACAUAACUUCCUCCUUGGAGGCGUCACCUUGGAGGCGUCACCUUGGAGGCCAAACGGUGGUUUUCAAUGGUGUGCAUGCUUGUCUGUGGAGCUUGGGUUUGUGGUGGUGCUGACCUUUUUCUUUCUUUUCUUUUUGCACUAGCCUUUUGUUGUGCUUUCCUCUUCGGGCGGUUCCUCUAAUGCAUCUUCUGAUCAAUGAAUUUGGCAUCUUUCUUGCCAACGUUCGAAAAAAAAGUGCAUUUUUGGUCUUAGCAAUCUCUUUCUUUGUUAGUUCUGUAUUGCAUGUAGUAUCGAAUGAGAAGUAUGCUUACUACAAAACAACAAAAAGUGGUGAUUCGUAGUUCUACAGUGUGGAUGGAUGGAGAAAGAAAUACCACAUUAUAUACAUACAUCAGGAUAUGGUCCAAUUAAUAUUGCUCAUUUCUUCAAUAUGUUCCACCUAAACAACUAGAACAUGGCAGGAACCAGAAAGGUGAACCUUCAAAGGUGAACCAACAUUAUAAGCUUGACUAAAAAGGAUAAGUUGGUUCACACCCUCGUCGUAGGGCUAGGCCAUGGCCAAUGCAUAGCCCCAGGGUGAUGCCACGUAGGAUCGGAUGUCAUGAAAAGUAGGUUUGGAUGAAGCAGUUGGAUCCUCUAUAGGAGGCGGGUGCUCGGGAAAAAAAAGUGUGGUCCGGUGCAUAAAACUGAAAAGGUUGAAUGAAAAGUAGAGAUGCAUGUGUAGUGGAAGUCUUUAUUCUUUAUUCUUUGAUAAGGCCCAUUAGUGGUAACUUGCAUUGAAGAAAAAAAAUCAAUAUAGAUGCUUCAAACUAUUUUUUAUCAAGGUGCAUCUUUAUUCAUACGUCAUCAUUGUACAUGUCCGUAGGAAAAGAGGUAUUUAGUUCCCACACAUGGGUGCACACUAAUUAAAGAAAUAGAAGAUGUAGGGACCAAAAGAUGAACUUGAAAGUUGAAACCAUACACCAGUUACCUUUACUCCAGUGGUUUAUAUAUAAAAAUGCAAUGCGUUCAGAACUUUUGUUACAAUAGUGUCUUUUUGUUUGAACACUACUCACAGCAAGUACAAUAAGGUACAGUCAGCAGGCUGUAAGGAUUAAAAUACUAUAUUUUUGUUGAGUUGGAUGAGAGAGAGGAGGAGAGAGAAGGGAAGCGAGCUCUUCGUGAAGAGCCAGCUCUAGCACGUGCUCCUAGGUGCUUUGUGAGAAUAAAAGGUGAGUCAUAUAUGAUAAAAGUAUUACUCUUUUAUAGCUAACUAUUAUACAAGCUAGCUAUAAGACUGCUUAUAGCCAGCAGUUGGCUAUACUAUUAACCAUGCUCUCAAAGAGCCCACACUAGAUGACAAGUUCGCUCCUAGUAGUGUGUGCAUGUCCUUUUUCUGUCCGGUGGCACUAGCUAGUAGGCCUCGGAUCCAUAAUUGUUGGUGGAAGACUUGGCUUCGGAUGAAAAUCUUGCAUCUAGUCAGUGUCGAUGGUAACGGUGUCUAUGGAUGUCGUCUUUCUCUUUGGAGGUACCUCCAUGGAGCUUGUUUUUCUCUUCAUACCUCAUGGCUUGUGGUCUUCGGGUGAAAACUUAAGAUUUGGCUAGGCCAGAUCGGGUGGCGGUGUUGUUCACGACAUAACUCCCUCCUUGGAGACGUCACCUUGGAGGCCCAACGUUGGUUUUCAAUGGUGUGCAUACUUGUCGGUGGAGCUUGGGUUUGUGGUGGUGCUGACCUUUUUCUUUCCUUUUUUUGCACUAACCUUUUGUUGUGCUUUCCUCUUCGGAGGGUUCUUGUAACGCUUCUUCUGAGAUGAGAACAUUAUUUUCUGUCAUAUACAACCACUAGGCUAUCGCCCAGUCCUCAGUUCUCAUCUUUGAAUCACCUUAUGUUUUGGGGUUAAUUGGAUUCAUGCCACUCCAAUUUUCACCGGUUGGAGAUAUGCCAUUACAAAAACUGAACUUGAACAUGGUAUAAUUGACACAAUCCUGCACUAGUACAGUGUUGUAAGAAAAUAGAGUUAGUAACCUAGCUAAAAGCCAGAACGUGGAAGGAACCAAAAAGGUGAACAUUCAGAGAUGAGAAGCUUAAUCUGUUGCCAGUUUAAAAGGUAGAAUAUGCAUAUACAGACACAAAGUCAGCAAAUGUGCUUGCCAAAAUUGCAGCCAGUUUAAAAGGAGGCAUAAAAUUGCAGCCAAAAUAUGUGCAACCAAUAGUUCUAAGUAUGUGCAUCAAUGAAAUGGUUAUGAUUUGCAGCCAAAAAAAUUAUUAUUGUAGAAAGCAUUAAGCAUCAACCACCAAUAGAUUCCAAAAAUCCCAUUUAAUAUAAAGAUUCCAGUGAAAUAACUUUUAUGGGAAUGCAGAGAAAAAAGUUCAGUCACGCUCAGAGACACAAAGGGACAAAAUGCAAAGACACAAAAGAGAAGAAAUCAAAUAGCUUUGUGUGGAACAAAAAUGAUAGCUGGAUUAGUAACUGGACCAAUACAGCUAAAGUCUUCAGUAUGUGCCCGUGCCACGUAGAACAAGAAGAUGGAAAUAACCACAAAGGAGAAGAUUCAGAGAUGACAAAGAUCAUUUUUUUGUCAGAUCAAAAUGAAGCAUAUGCAUAUACAGACACAGAAUCAGCAAAUGUGCUUGCUAUCUGAACACCGUUGAAUCAGUGGCGGUAAUACUCGAGGCCAGCAAAGUCAUGUCUUGCAGAAAUUAGGCGCCACAUUCCAUCAAACAACAUGUGCACAAAGGAGUUGAGCCUACCGAUUUGCCUUCAGUCACCUAAACUUUCAAGUCAAACCGGAAAUAUUCAUGGAUCAGCUGGUUGAAGAACCAGCACUACAUGAUAUACUCGACACAAUCUUAUGUAGCAGGCAGUAGUACAACUAAUGCUGUAAGAAAAUACUGUACUAGAGUAGAGUUUAUAGUAAACUGAUAGGUAAUUAGGUAUUGCCCCCAACUCGGGCUGCGUUGAUCGAGCGGCAGGGGUGCACUGAUCGAGAGUUCGAGACUCAAGCCUCGGAAUCCCAUCCGCGCGCGCUGCGGGCUGCGGAGAGGGAGAGACGCAUCGGCACUGUAGCAGGACAGGCAGCGCGCAGCGGAGGAGGUCGAUCCAUCCCAUUCUCCAUCGUACGGCUAGAAGCGGAAUAAUGUAACUAGAAGACUAUGUGUCCAGAGUCUUACAAUCGAUACCUAUUAAUAUGCACUUCAGGCGAGCUUUAAUAGGAGCAUGUUGGGAGGCAUGGAUGCAUCUGGUAAGAAGACUUAUGCAGGUACAAUUAUCUGAUCAUCCAGACAAUGUUCGAUGGAUUUUAACUGUGAAUGGGGUAUUCUCAGUAAAGUCCAUGUAUAUAGAUCUGAUGGAAGAUGGCCGCACGGGUUAUCUUCAACCGGUUUGGAUGGCGUGCUAGUAAUAGACCAGGUGUAUAGGCAACGUAAUUUUGGGCAUUUUGCUUGGGAGUGUCCGGAGAAGAAGAAGGACAACCAGGAGAAGGCAUUGCUCGGCGUCGAGGAUGAGCCGGCUCUUCUCUAAAAGUGCAUCACGAGUGAAGGAUCAAGAUUAAGGAGGAGAAUGUUAGGUUUAAUCUUGAUCAUGCAUCUGCAUUUUUAGUUUUAGUCAUGCAUGUAUUUGUCCAGAGGUUGUACAUGUGACGUGUACAUGGCGUGCAAAGCGAUUUGCCCAAGAUCGUCGUGCGAAGCGGCGUGUCUGGCCAGAGCUGGGAUAGUCUGUUAGUUAGUUAGUGCAUGCAUGGCCGGGUCAUGGAAAUCAUGGAGAGAUUCCAGGGUUUGUUAGCAGCCGGACGUGCGUACAUGGAGGACGUGCUGUUAGUGGCCAGUAUGGUAGCUGGGUAUGUGUGCGUCGAUGUACUACUUAAGUUGUAAUGCUGCAUAUUUACUUUCAACGCAAGAGAAUAGAAAGAGAAGAAAAGACCGGAUGUGUGAUACAGUGGCACCAAACACCUGCGUCUUUUUCCCUGUUCUUGUGAGAGCUACGUGAGGUAGAAGAAGAGUAAGAGGGGCUGGGAGAGUUAGCCCAACAUUUGAUAUCGGAGCUAGGUUGAAGAUGACGCGUGACUCUUCAGCGAGUGGAGCGUUGGAGCCGGCAGUGGCCGCGAUGACGGCGGCGGCGGCGACGGCGAUGGCGCAGCGGGAAAGCUUCCAUUCCCGCUGCUAACAAGGACGAACUACGUGGCAUGGGCGAUGAGGAUGAAGUACCUCUUGCGAGCCAACGGCGCAUGGGCUGCCGUUGAUCGCGAGACGUCGUCCAUGAAGGUUGACAAGGGCAAGGAGGAGUUGGCCAUGACGAUCAUCUCCCAGUCGAUUGACGACACGACGCUGCUGCGCGUAGCAGAGAAGGAGACCGCUGCCGAUGUGUGGGCGUCUCUACGCUCCAUGCACGUUGGUGUCGAGCGCGUCCGGGAGGCGAGGAUUCAGUCCUUGCGCUCGGAGUUUGAUGGCCUCAAGAUGGGUGAUGCAGAGUCCGUGGAUGAUUUCGCGGCGAUGUUCACGACGCUCGUGGGACGCAUCCGUGAGCUUGGUGAUCCGCUGGAGGAGAAGUACAUGGUGAAGAAGCUGUUGCGAGCCGUCUCCAACAAGUUCAUCCACGUUGCUUCGUCAAUUGCGUUGUUCGGCGACACCAACAAGAUGGCCAUGGAGGAGGCCAUUGGUUCACUCAAGGCACAUGAGGAGCUCGUCAAGGGGCGGGAGACGACACGUGAAGAGGAGCAACUUUUCAUGGUGAGAGGGGAUGACUCGUCGCGAGGACGGGGUCGUGGCCGUGGACGCGCUGGAGGGCGCAAAGACAAAAGUGAGGUACAAUAUUACAAUUGUCGUGAUUUUGGGCAUUUUGCUUGGGAGUGUCCGGAGAAGAAGAAGGACAACGAGGAGAAGGCAUUGCUCGGCAUCGAGGAUGAGCCGGCUCUUCUCUAAAAGUGCAUCACGAGUGAAGGAUCAAGAUUAAGGAGGAGAAGGUUAGGUUUAAUCUUAAUCAUGUAUCUGCAUUUUUAGUUUCAGUCAUGCAUGUAUUUGUCCAGAGGUUGUACAUGUGAUGUGUACAUGGCGUGCAAAGCGAUUUGCCGAAGAUCGUCGUGCGAAGUUUCGUGUCUGGCCAGAGCUGGGAUAGUCUGUUAGUUAGUUAGUGCAUGCAUGGCCGGGUCAUGGAAAUCAUGGAGAGAUUCCAAGGUUUGUUAGCAGUUAGUGCAUGCAUGGCAGGGUCAUGGAAAUCAUGGAGAGAUUCCAGGGUUUGUUAGCAGCCGGACGUGCGUACAUGAAGGAUGUGCUAUUAGUGGCCAUUAUGAUAGCUGGGUAUGUGUGCGUCGAUGUACUACUUAAGUUGUAAUGCUGCAUAUUUACUUUCAACACAAAAGAAUAGAAAGAGAAGAAAAGGCCGGCUGUGUGAUACAGUGGCACCAAACAUAUGCGCUUUUUUCCCUGUUCUUGUGAGAGCUACGUGAGGUAGAAGAAGAGUAAGAGCCUAAGAGGGGCUGAGAGAGUUAGCCCCAACAGGUUUUGCCUCCUUUGGUGGCGAUCACUGGUGGAAAAACAGGCUUCCGUCCAGCCCCAUAAGUCGCGAAGCUGUAGGAACCGCGACUAAUGGGACCUUUAGUCGCGGUUCUGGAGGUGAACCGCGACCAAAGGCCUGGGCCCAGGGCGCUCGGUGGCCAGCUGGUGCACGUGAGGGGCUUUAGUCGCGGUUGGCCAGGACAACCGCGACUAAAGGCCUUCGGGCACCUUUAGUCACGGUUUGCCGGGCCAACCGCAACUAAAGCCCCUCCCCUAUAUAUACCCAUCCAGCAGCCAACACUUAGCCAUUUGGAGCCAUUCUCUUCACAAGUGGAUGUAGGUUUGCUUUUGGUUCCUCUUAUGCACAUAAGGUGUUUGAUGAAAUGCCCCAAGAGCAUGAAACAAACAUGACAUGAAGUGUUGGAGCCACACUCCUCGAUCGCGGUUAGCAACUUGAUGAACCUUUGAUGUGUCAUUGAUAAAAUAUGCAUGUGUGUAGUUCAUUGUUUAAUUUAUAUUGUUUGUAGCUAGUUAGUUUAACAAAUGCAUGAUGGUUAAUUAUAUAUUUUAUAUUAUAAUAAUGCAGAUGAAUCGGCAAUGGAUGUACGUUAACCGACUCUCCGGCGAGUUCACUACGGGUUUGAAAGAUUUCCUCGUAGUGGCUAAUGCGAACAAGCGGGGGGGUUUUGUUAUCUGUCCAUGUGUUAACUGUAAGAAUCAGAAGGGUUACUCUUCCUCAAGAGAUGUUCACAUGCAUCUGCUUCGGCACGGUUUCAUGCCAAGCUAUAAUUGUUGGACCAAGCAUGGAGAAAGAGGGGUUAUAAUGGAAGAAGAUGAAGAAGGGGAUGAUUUCAUCGAUGAAAGCUAUCUUGCUCAUUUCGGUGAUACUUUCAUGGAGGAUGCUGAAGGUGAAGGGGAAGGUGAAGAAGAGGCACGUGAUGAUCCCGUUGAUGAUCUUGGUCGGACCAUUGCUGAUGCACGGAGACGCUGCGAAACUGAAAAGGAGAGGGAGAAUUUGGAUCGCAUGUUAGAGGAUCACAGAAAGGCGCUGUACCCCGGAUGCGAUGAUGGUCUGAAAAAGCUGGGCUGCACACUGGAUUUGCUGAAAUGGAAGGCAGAGGCAGGUGUAGCUGACUCGGCAUUUGAAAACUUGCUGAAAAUGUUGAAGAAUAUGUUUCCAAAGGAUAACGAGUUGCCCACCAGUACGUACGAAGCAAAGAAGGUUGUCUGCCCUCUAGGUUUAGAGGUUCUGAAGAUACAUGCAUGCAUCAACGACUGCAUCCUCUACCGCGGUGAAUACGAGAAUUUGAAUGAAUGCCCGGUAUGCACUGCAUUGCGUUAUAAGAUCAGAGGCGAUGACCCUGGUGACGAUGUUGAGGGCCAGAAACCCAGGAAGAGGGUUCCCGCCAAGGUGAUGUGGUAUGCUCCUAUAAUACCAUGGUUGAAACGUCUGUUCAGGAACAAAGAGCAUGCCAAGUUGUUGCGAUGGCACAAAGAGGACCGUAAGUCGGACGGGGAGUUGAGACACACCGCAGAUGGAACGCAAUGGAGAAAGAUCGACAGAUGGUUCAAAGAUUUUGCAGCUGACGCAAGGAACAUAAGAUUUGCUCUAAGUACGGAUGGCAUGAAUCCUUUUGGCGAGCAGAGCUCCAGCCAUAGCACCUGGCCCGUGACUCUAUGCAUCUACAACCUUCCUCCUUGGUUGUGCAUGAAGCGGAAGUUCAUUAUGAUGCCAGUGCUCAUCCAAGGUCCGAAGCAACCCGGCAACGACAUCGAUGUGUACCUAAGGCCAUUAGUUGAUGAACUUUUACAGCUGUGGGGUGGUGUCCGUGUGUGGGAUGAGCACAAACAAGAGGAAUUUGACCUACGAGCGUUGCUUUUCGUAACCAUCAACGAUUGGCCUGCUCUUAGUAACCUUUCGGGACUGUCAAAUAAGGGAUACAAUGCAUGCACGCACUGCUUACAUGAGACUGAAAGUGUACAUUUGCCAAACUGUAAGAAGAACGUGUACCUUGGGCAUCGUCGAUUUCUUUCGAAAAUUCAUCCAGUAAGAAAGAAAGGCAAGCAUUACAACGGCAAGGCAGAUCACCGGCCGAAGCCUGCGGAACGCACUGGUGCUGAGGUAUUUGAUAUGGUCAAGGAUUUGAAAGUCAUCUUUGGAAAGGGUCCUGGCGGACAAUCAGUUCCGAAGGGAGCUGACGGGCACGCAGCCAUGUGGAAAAAGAAAUCUAUAUUCUGGGAGCUAGAAUAUUGGAAAGUCCUAGAUGUCCGCUCUGCAAUCGACGUGAUGCACGUUACGAAGAAUAUUUGCGUGAACCUCCUAAGCUUCUUGGGCGUGUAUGGGAAGACAAAUGAUACAAAGGAAGCACGGCAGGACCAGGAACGUUUGAAAGACCCUGAUGACCGGCAUCCGGAAUGGUUUCAAGGUCGUGCCAGCUACGCUCUGACCAAAGAAGAGAAGGUCAUCUUUUUUGAAUGCCUGAGCAGUAUGAAGGUCCCGUCUGGAUUCUCGUCCAAUAUAAAGGGAAUAAUAAACAUGGCGGAGAAAAAGUUCCAAAACCUGAAGUCUCACGACUGCCACGUGAUUAUGACGCAAUUGCUUCCGAUUGCUUUGAGGGGGCUCCUGCCGGAAAAUGUUCGAGUAGCCAUUGUGAAGCUAUGUGCAUUCCUCAAUGCAAUCUCUCAGAAGGUAAUCAAUCCAGAAGUUCUACCACGGUUACAGAACGAUGUGAUCCAAUGUCUUGUCAGUUUCGAGUUGGUGUUCCCGCCAUCCUUCUUCAAUAUUAUGACGCACCUCCUGGUUCACCUAGUCGAAGAGAUUUUCGUUCUCGGUCCUGUAUUUCUACACAAUAUGUUCCCCUUCGAGAGGUUCAUGGGAGUAUUAAAGAAAUAUGUUCGUAACCGUGCUAGGCCAGAAGGAAGCAUCGCCAAGGGCUAUGGAAAUGAGGAGGUAAUUGAGUUUUGUGUUGACUUUGUUCCUGACCUUAAGCCGAUUGGUCUUCCUCGAUCGCGGCACGAGGGGAGACUAAGUGGAAAAGGCACGAUCGGAAGGAAAUCAACGAUAUGUAUGGACGGCCAUUCUCUGACUGAAGCACACAACACUGUACUGACCAAUUCCAUCUUGGUGGCUCCGUACUUUGAGAAACACAAGAAUAUUUUACGCUCUGACAACCCGGGGAAGCCUGAAUCCUGGAUUAGGAAGGCCCACAUGGAGACUUUCGGCAGUUGGUUGAGAAAACAUUUAAUGAAUGACAAUGAUGUUGUAGAUCAGCUGUACAUGUUGGCCAAGACACCAUCUUCGACUAUAACGACUUUCCAAGGGUACGAGAUAAAUGGGAAUACAUUUUACACGAUCGCCCAAGAUAAAAAGAGCACCAACCAAAACAGUGGUGUCCGCUUUGAUGCAGCAACCGAGAAUGGGCAAGAGGUCACAUAUUAUGGUUACAUAGAGGAGAUAUGGGAACUUGACUAUGGACCCUCCUUUAAGGUCCCUUUGUUCCGGUGCAAAUGGUUCAAGCUAACAGGAGGUGGGGUAAAGGUGGACCAGCAAUACGGAAUGACAAUGGUGGAUUUCAACAAUCUUGGUUACCUUGACGAACCAUUCGUCCUAUCGAAAGAUGUCGCUCAGGUUUUCUAUGUGAAGGACAUGAGUAGCAAACCGAGGAAACGGAAAGAUAAGAAAACGAUCAGUACAUCAUGCGAUGAUCCAAAGCGCCACAUUGUUCUUUCAGGGAAAAGAAACAUCGUGGGAGUGGAGGACAAGACAGACAUGUCAGAAGAUUAUAAUAUGUUUGCUGAAAUUCCGCCCUUCAAAGUGAACACCGACCCAAGCAUUAAGUUAAAUGAUGAGGAUGCUCCAUGGAUACGGCACAAUCGUAAGCAAGCAGGGACACAAGGGAAGAAAUGAUGUGUAAUAAUUUAUUGUACCAAACUUUGUUGAAUGGAUCAUGUGAAUUAUAUUACCCGUGAUGUGUUUGGUGUCCAUUUUCGAAUGAUUCGAGAUACCACUGAUGAUACAUGAAAUUUGGAGUGAUUUAGUCAUACUCCUGCCUAGGCGUAUAAUAUGCAUACUCGUAGUCUUCAUAGCCGCCGUCGUCGUUGUACUGGUAGUCGUCGCCUUCUAAGUUGCCGCCGUCGUCGUCGCUGCUGUCGUCGCUGUCGUCGGGCGGCGCUCGUGGCUCGAACUGAGGGUAGCGCAGGCGGGGGAUAUCGCCGGCCGUGAUGUAGUCCAUGACGCUCUGCAGAGUCCGGCCGUACCACCAUAGCCGACGGCCGGCCUCGUGGAAGUUCCCAGGAGGCAGACCGUCCUCCUCAUACCUGGCGAGCGCCCUCUCACGCCGAUUGAUGAAGAAGGCGUCCCAAGUAUGCUGGUUAUCGGGAUGCCAGCGGGGAUUCAUCCGCUGCUCCGGCGUGAGGUCGAGGUAGUAGUGGUUCGUGAUGGCCGCCCGGCGCGCAGUACCCUGAGGGACGGGAGGGACCGGCACGCCGCCGGCGCUUAGGCUCCAGCCGGUGGGGACGCGGUAGCCCGGUGGACAAGGGUAGUUCGAGGCGCAAAGCUCCUCCACCUGCUGGUAGGUUAGAGUGGGUGCGGUGGAAGCCAUGAGAGUGAUGAGAGAUUGUAGAGAUGUGAUAAUGCUGGCCAAGCCGGGCUACAUAUAUGUAGUGAGAAAUGGCGGGAAAAAUGGGAGCGGGAAGACAGGAGGCGGGAAGACAGGAGGCGGGAAGAAAGUGGCGGGAAGAAAGAGGCGGGAAGACAGGGAAGAAAUGGCGGGAAGAAGAGGAAUCCAGAGCUGGUCAUCUAACCUUUAGUCCCGGCUGGUUGGUGCAACCGGGACUAAAGGCCAGACCAACCGCGACUAAAGGUCGUUGCGCGCGGGGAACGCAAAAACGACCUCUCAGCGGGCGGAUAGGAGAAGAAAGGGGCGGCGCGCUCACGGCUCGGGCGAGAGGCCUCUCAGCGGGGCAUCACAGCCACCGCACCAGGCUGGCGUGAGCAAGAUGGGUCGAGGCCGAAGGCCGGCCCAGGCCGGGGGGGAGAGAGGCUGUGGCCAAUGUUCCCUUUAAAUGGAUUCUCUUUUUUCUGUCCCGUUUUAGGCAGAUUCAAUGUAUUGUCUCUAUGCAUAUUUUCCCUACGAAAAUAUGCUUAGAAAACAGAAAAUAAAAUGUUUGAAGUUUCUAUAAAAGCAAUGAUGAUUUUUCUGAAAAGAAAAAGAUAAAAGGUUCUGAAAAUAAAAGAAGAUUUGGGGGGGCCUUUAGUCGCGGUUGGUCUGGCAAACCGCGACUAAAGGUUACCCUUUAGUCGCGGGUCGCCUCCCCAACCGCGACUAAAGGGGGGGCUAUAAAUACAAGUGCGGGUCGCCUCCCCUGCCGCCGUCUUCUCCAUCUCUCUCGUCUUCUCCGAUUCUCUGCCGCGCGCGCCGAAGGCCUGCCGCCGCCGUCGCCCUCGCCCUCGUCGACGCCGCCCGCCGUCGCCCUCGCCCUCGUCGCCGCCCGCCGUCGCCCUCGCCCGCGACUAAAGGGUUCACCCCUAUCCUUUCAUCUUUCCCGCGCCGCGCCCGCCAGCUUCCUCGCUUCCUGUCGCCGCCUACUGCCCCCUCCGCUCGAAGCAUUGCGCUCGUCGUUGCGCUCAUAGCCGCCCUCGUCCCCGCGCCCAUCGAUGCCGACAGGGCUCGCAGAAAUCAAGAACGAACAUCUCAUCCCGACGUCCCGUGGGUAGUUCGUCUUGGAAGAACGUCUUGGAAGAAAAAGAACAGAGACUAUCUAUUUAAAAGUUUCAUCGAAUAUAAAAAGUUUCAUCGAAUAUGAAAAAGAACAGAGACUAUCAAAUAUGAAAAAGUUUCAUCGAAUAUAAAAAAGAUCAUCGAGUUAAAAAAUCAUCAAUUUAAAUAAUUAAUCAAUCUAAAUUGAAAAAAAUUAGCGAAUUUGGAAAAGUUCACCAUUUUUGGUUGAGUUUAAGACUAUCUAUUUUGGUUGAGUUAUUGCAGGACAUGAUUUUGGGAAUGUAUCAAUUAUCUUUUAGAUUAUUUCAAGUUACUUUAUUUGUGUAGUUUAAAUUAUGUGUGGGAUCAAUUGUGAGUAUCAAAAAAUCAACAGAAAACCAAGAAGAGAGGGAGUCAUGGGACGAAAAAACAAAGGGAGUAGGAGAGGCAACGGAACCAACUCCUCUUUUAAUAAUGAGAUACUUACAUAAUAUUUACUCCCUCCGUUUUUAAAUAAUUAUAGCCAAAAAAAGAUAGUCUAGUUUUUUUAACUACAAUUAUUUAGGAACAAAGAAAGUAUUUUCUUUUAUGAUUAAAAACUAGCAAAUGAACCAGCGAAUCGGCGGUCGGCCAGUGCAAAGCUGAAGCAGCAGGUUUACGGUCAAAAACUCUAGUUAAAACUCUAGUUAAAACUCUAGUUCACGGUUCACGAAGAGAAAACAUAUUGUCGAGCCCUAUGAUUUCUCGAUGCACCUGCACAGUCCCGGGUCUCAUACUCGUGUGGUUAGUACACACGACAGUGAUGAGAAAAAAAGUAUGGUCCCGGGUCUCCCUCUCCGUGACGCCGUCGUCUGCCGCCCCGUCUCGCGCUCUACCGCGACACCCUCUCCCACCCCUUCCUCGCCCCCUCCUUUUGCCACCGCCCUUUCGCCACCGCCACCGCCACCGCCCCCCUUCUUCACUUAAUUAAUUUGUUUUUACUGCAUGUUUUCAGGACUGACAUAAUGGCGGACGAUAGAGCUGACCCGAUUAUGGACAACUAUGAUCCGGACGGUGAAGCACAUAUGUUCGGCAUCAUAAACGGCGAUAUUCUAUAUGUGCCGACCGGAGAAGAAGAAGAUGAUAUCUCUUCUUAUCUGAACCUUGACGGUGAAGAUGAAGGGCGCCGUCAGCAAGAUGAUGCCGAACAAACGUCGAUAAACGACGAUCUUCAAAUGGAAGUAGCAACCACCUCCGGCGCCGAGGUAUAUAUAUACAUUGAGCCUCUGGUGAUACAAACUAACUGAUUUGAAUAAAUAUGUGUGUACUAACGCGCGCGACUCUCUUUCUUAUUUUAGCCCUCGGCCGGAUCGUCGAAACAAUCGAGUACGUCGUCAAAGCGUGGCGCAACCAAGACGAUGAAACAAGGAGAAACAUGCACCAUCGAGGUUGUCGACAGUGCAACCGGCAGGCCGCUGGAGCCCCGCAAGAACGCCACCAAGUUUGUCAGCCAAUGCGGAGCCGUUGUUAGAGACAACGUCUCGAUCACCGUCCAGGAGUGGAAUGAGCCAAAGAAGGCACGAAUUGCUGCAGGUUUCACUUUUUUCGAUAAGAGAACAAAAAAAGAUUGCUUCAAGAAGCUUAUGGAACAUUUCGUUCUACCUCCGGAAUACAACAAAUUCGAUGAGGAGGGUAACAAGAUUGAGGAAAACAAGGAGAGGAGGAGGCUAGUCAAACAGUUCGCUCUUCAUAAGAUGGCCGACGCAUUCCGGAAAUUCAAGCAAAAUCUAGCCCAUGACUUUGUCAAGCAGAACAAGACUCCGGAUUUCAAAGGACAAUAUGAGAAACUGAAACAUGAUUGGCCAGAAUUUGUGAAGCAAAAGAAAUCGGAGCAGUUCAUUCAAAUAUCGAAAAAAAAUAAGGAAAAUGCGGCUAAGAAGGAGUACAAUCAUAUUAUGGGGCCAGGAGGGUAUCGCAUUUUGUUGCCUAGGUUGGAGAAGAUGGAGAACGAGCUGAGGGCGCGAGGAAUCCGUCCAGGUACGGAGGGAUGGGACCCAAGGGCCAAAAGCUGGUGGUACGGGCAUGGGGGAACGCUGAACCCGGAGACAGGGGAGUGUGUUUACCGGGGCAAAUUAAUUAAACCCACCCAAGCCCUUAUUGACGCAAUGAGGGAUGCUCAAGAGGGGAAGAUCAAGUUCAACAGAGAGAACGACGCGCUGACAAAAGCCCUCGGGAAUCCUGAACACGGAGGACGUGUACGAGGCAUGGGGCACAUUCCGUGGAAAAUAGGGUUCCCCCAGAACGAUGACCCAUACGGUUACAGAAACCGUAAGAGAAAGAUGGAUCGGGAAGCAGAUGUUGUGGCGCGGUUGGCAUCGGAAAUGGAUGUGAUGAAGAAAACCAUGAGUGUACUAGUAGCCGAAAGAGAUGCAACUCGGGUGCAGCAUGAAGAUCAUCCAGCGGAUCUCGGAAGCCAGCAGCGGAGAAGCAGCGUGGCUUCCACGGAGGCCCCACCGGCUGGUGCAGAUGCACCGACGAUCGAAAUUAAUGCACCGGAGCCUCUGGUGGUCGAAAUUACUGCACCGGAGCCUCUGGUGGUCGAAAUUACUGCACCGGAGCCUCCUCGCUACCCCGUGGACGAUAUAAAGGAGAUGAAAGAAUGUCAUCUGUAUUAUCCUAUCGGGAACAUGUCCAUGAAGGUAGCCAUCGGCAGUGCUUUACCAUGUUUACCUGGAGCACUCCACCACAACAACCCCAUUCAAGAUGGCUAUGCUCGUGUCACGGUGGAGGACAUAGUCCAAGGGUUUGAGGACCUGGAGAUUGACAUUGCUACACCUGAAGGGGAGAAAAGACUUGGAGAUGUCAAGCGCCAUUUCAUUCUAUGGCAAAAGAAGUUUAUCAAGUUUCCAGGCGAGGCGCCAAGGACAACAAGUCCACCCCCCUACGGUGGUGGUGGUGGCGGUGGCGGUGGUGGUGGUGGUGGUGGUGGUGGCGGUUCACCUACACCUCCGUCACGUCAGCCGACGCCCCCCAGUCCACAACGUCCGGCGGGUGAUCAGACGCCGCCCCCCAGUCCUCGUCCGGCGGGUGAUCAGACGCCGCCCCCCAAUCCACCUCCGGCAAAGAAGCAGAAGCAGAAGCAGUCCUGGAUUAUUAACCCGGACCCUUAUGUACCUAAGACCACAAAGGUACCGGAGCCAUCACUGAAGCCUCUCCCCACAAGGCCUUGGGAACGUAGUGCCGAGGAAGUCGACGCGGCCGCGGCUGCUGAUUUGGAGAAAUGGAAGGCGGACUGCAAGAAGAAAAGAGAGCCCGAGCCCAAGCCAGUAUUUUCUGAUGAGCAAAAGAAGUGGGCUAAGUCAUUUUUGAGCACACCGUCCCAAGCCGCGAAGAAUCUGCCUGACGACUAUGCACGUGAACUUCGCAGGCAGGCACUCAUGUUCAAGGAGAACAAAGAGCGGGAGAAGGCCGAAAGUAAAAAAAGCGGGAAACAAGUUGCCCAGCUCGGGGAACAAAGUAAACAAUCGAUUGCCCCGCUUAUAGUGGAAGCCGCCGGUCCGGAUGCCCCCGAGAUCAUACAAGCUGCGGCAGCACAGGGAUUGACUGCAACGAGUGCCAGAGAACAAGCGGCCAACUUAGGUAUUACUCUUCGUGAACUGUUAGGCCUUGAUGAGGCGCCAGUGAAGGAGGUAGUAAUUACAUAUGUCAAGAAUGGGCCUCUCGUCGAGCCUGCGCAGGAAAAGGAUCUACCUCCACAAAUGAAAGGUCUGCUGAAAUGGUACAAGGGUUACAUAAAAAAUAAAAACGCCAAAGAUUAUAUUUAUGCGGAAGUUAGACAUGAGCAUCACUUCAAACAUUACUAUGUACAAAUUGAACUGAGUGAAUUGUUCCAGCUUUUCAAUCUGCGCGAUCUCGACAAAUCUAUCAUCAGUUGCUACGUUCUGUAAGUGAUUUAUUUCUACCCCAUCUCGUUCAUAUUGCCUGCACUAUAUAUAUGUCCUAACUAUAUUGUUGUGUCCGCUAUUAUACAUGCAGAAUGAAGAUUAAGGAAUGCAGAGUAAGGAACAUCCAUGAUGUUGGGUUCAUUGACCCACACAUCGUUAAUGGACAUGUGUUGGAGCAUCACCCCGCCGACAUGGAGGCAGACCUGUGGCAGUUUCUUACAAAGCAGGAACUCAAAAGUGAUAUUCUAUUUCCUUACCAUUUUGGGUGAGUGUUUCUGUCUUGAGCACAUUCUCUUUUGUUUACUCCAUGCAUGGUAUGUGGCCGGCUAAUCGAUGAGUUAUGCAUGACGUACUGUGCAUGUAUCGUGUCCGCAGGUUCCACUGGAUUCUGCUAGUAAUUAAAGUUAACACCUCAGAAUGUCUCGUCCACGACUCUCUGAAUAUGGAUCCAAAGCUUUGGGGCGGCAUGAGAAGAAUGCUGCAGAAGUAAUUAUUUUCAUUCAUUUGCGCUCUAUAUCGAUCGGCCUAUUUCGUUCAUUUCCUAAUAUCAAGUAACUAAUAACUCUCUUGUUCAUUUAAUUUUCUUUGCCUCGUAGGGUUUGGAGACGGUUCGUAGAUACAAAGGUCGGUGAAUUCAAAAAAGAGCUAGAAUUCAAAAGGUCAAAGCCGAAGAAUGCUGGGGAUAUUCAGCCAGCGGGGACCAAUCUAUGUGGAUACUAUGUCUGUGAGAUGAUCCGGAGAUACACCUCUGAGCGGGUUCCGAGUGAUACCAAUGCUAAGAGGAAUAACCUCCGGAUGAUGCUUAGUCCAGAAGCUCGCUUCCGACCACUUCAAGAGGAACUAGCUGGAUGGUUCAGCAGGGAAGUCCUCCAUCCUAAAGGAGAACACCAUUACGAGGACGUAGAACUUUAUAUGCAUUAAAUUAUGUAUGGAAACUUGUUCAAAAUUGUAUAUGGUCAUCCGAUGAUAUUGAAUAUAUAUUGUAUAUUCCUCUUGAAUUCUUUUUGGUUUUAAUUUCAAAUUUGUUUGAAAUUGUACAUUCAUAUGCAUGUAUGUAGUACCGUAGAAUAUAUGAAAUUCCUUCAAAAUUAAAAUAAAGCACAAAAGAAAUAAAACAAUACAAAUUAAACAGAAAACAGGUUUAGGGGGGGGGGCGCGCGCGCUAAAACCCUAAACCUAUGGCGGCCUUUAGUCGCGGUUGGCCAGAAGAACCGCGACUAAAGGUCCUCCGCCCCGACGGCCGCCUGGCGCCCACGUGGACGGGCCUUUAGUCGCGGUUCUUAAGAAACCGCGACUAAAGGUGGGGGGCUUUAGUCGCGCUUAGUUGGUCGCGGUUGCGCAACCGCGACUAAUGGCAGUUGCGAACCGCGACCAAAGGCCUUUUUUCCACCAGUGGAUUGGGUAAAGAGAGAGAUUCGAUUCUCCCGGUCUAGUUGAUGGCCUUGAGGGAUUGGAUUCGAACUGACUUGCACGGGAGCAUCUCGGCAACGGACUUGAGGAGGCGUGGAGCACACUACAGGAAAAAACUUAUAAGCCGAGUGCCCGAAACACUCGGCUUACGACGGAUUACACUCGGCUUAUAUAUAAGCCGGCUGUUUUCCCCGGCUUAUCCAGUGUAAGCCGAGAGCAACAGUUAAAACACUCGGCUUACAUAUAAGCCGAGUGCACCCACGUAAGCCGAGUGUCAACGGACACACGAUUUACACAUAACGGCAACGUGGUUCUAACGGCAAGCCCUGUGACGGUUCAUAUAAGCCGAGGGCCUACCGUCACACGGUUUAUAUAUAAGCCGAGGGCCUACCGUCACACGGUUUAUAUAUAAGCCGAGGGUCGAGACCGGGCGCACGGGUUAUAUAUAAACCGAGGGCCAGUGUGACACGCACGGUUUACAUAUAAACCGAGGGCCAAAUCUGACACACGGGUUAUAUAUAGGCCGGGUGGUAGUGUCUGGGGCACACGGCUUACAGCCCCAGCGCCUGGGACAACGGUCUAUAAGUCGGGUGCUAUUAUCUGGGACACACGGCUUACAGCCCCCAGCGCCUGGGACAAACGGCCUAUAAGCCGGGUGCCAGAGCCUGGGGCACACGGCUUACAGCCCCCGAUGCUCUGUAAGCCGGGUGCCAGUGCGUGUGACACACAACUUAUAGCGCCCAAGAGCAUAUUUUUUUUCCAGACAGUAGCAACAACAAUAUAUUACAUAUCCAAUAGAUCACAACAAUAUAUUACAUAUCCAAUAGAACACAACAACAAUAUAAUUUCACAAAAACAUGCAUACGCGUACAUAUGCAACAAGAACACAAAUGAAAUGGUCAUGCAUACAUAUCCAAUAUAUUACAAGUUCACAACAAUAACAAUCCGAUGAUGAGUUCUAAGUCCACACACGCAUACAUAUCCAAUACAGUUCCACAAAAGCACACAUACAUAUUCAAGGAGGGUUCACAACAACAUGCAUACAUAUGCAAGAAGAGUUCACAAAUGAAAGCAUGAGUUCAACCUACAAUAUGCAAUGAACUUCCACCACAGCAUGUAUGCCCACCGUCGACGAUAUCCGUGAUCGAUGCAAACCUAUAAGUUCAAUAGCACACGCAUGAGUUUCCAAAAUUAAAUUGCAAAUGAUCGAUAAGGCACAAGAGUCANNNNNNNNNNNNNNNNNNNNNNNNNNNNNNNNNNNNNNNNNNNNNNNNNNNNNNNNNNNNNNNNNNNNNNNNNNNNNNNNNNNNNNNNNNNNNNNNNNNNNNNNNNNNNNNNNNNNNNNNNNNNNNNNNNNNNNNNNNNNNNNNNNNNNNNNNNNNNNNNNNNNNNNNNNNNNNNNNNNNNNNNNNNNNNNNNNNNNNNNNNNNNNNNNNNNNNNNNNNNNNNNNNNNNNNNNNNNNNNNNNNNNNNNNNNNNNNNNNNNNNNNNNNNNNNNNNNNNNNNNNNNNNNNNNNNNNNNNNNNNNNNNNNNNNNNNNNNNNNNNNNNNNNNNNNNNNNNNNNNNNNNNNNNNNNNNNNNNAUAAGUUUCAACUUGAAGCUAAGAAGUAUGAAUAAUACAAGGAUCAACACUUGUGGGCUCUACUAGCAGCAAUGCAAAGUUCUGAGUUGAGAGGCACAACCAACGACAAGACACAAGCAUGAAUAAUGUACAAGCAUAGACAAGUACCUCGAGUGAUCAUUGUGGCAUGGAGGUCAAAGCAUCUUCAGCCGCAGUGCGUGUCAUUGGGCUUGCUUGGGUAGGUGUAGAUCCAGCAACCACAAAGUCAUUGAAGUGUUCUCCUGACUAUGGAUAGUUCAAGCAUGAUAGUAAGAUGGUAAGAUGAUUUAAGAAUGAUGGUAAGAUGCAUGGUUGAAAAGUUGAAGACUUACAAGGCUGAAUGUAGGAAGAGGCGGAACAGGAGGAAGAUCCGGCAAAGUUGAACACUGCAUGAUAUUACCGAACCGAGCAAACGUCUCCUGCAGGGCUGCCUGUUGUUUAGCCAUGAAUUCCUGCUGCUGAAUUAGGGUUUGCUGCAUUUUCAUGGCUUGCUCUUGUUGAAGUAGGGCAUUGGCCUGAGCUUCCUGUCGUAGCCUGCUUUCUUCCUCUAGGCGGACCUACAAUAUGCCAGCACAACAAGUUCACCAUCGUUGCAAUGCAAAGAUAAAAUCAGAAGGAAGAUCAGUGAAGUAAAACAUACAUGGAACUGAUGCAGCAUGUCCAUCCCAGGUUGUGGGCGACGCUCAAUAGCAGGACCUGAGCUCGAUGUGGUAGCACGAAGGUGGGCGAGUUUUGGAAUGUUCUUCUUACGAAUGGAACCGUCACCAACAUAUAACCGGCCACGCUUCUUGCCUUCUCCCGACUUGAGGGAAACCAUAACGUCAAUGUCUUGUGAGGCCGGAUCAGAGUCGGGCCCGUUGCACUCCUUGAACUUCCCACUAUAUGCAUUAAUCCUAAAGCCAGCCCCUGGGUUGACCCACCCCCCCUUCCGGUUUCUUUGACUUACGUGAGAGACAUAAUCCCGUGAAGGUAUUGAGAAGCUCUUCACCCUCACCUCUCUCCCUAUUCUGCAAUAGAAGCAAUAAUAUCCACAAGGGCACAAGUUGAGAAGUUCAUAAACCAAAUGAUAUUAUUACCUUCUUCUGCACGUAAGCAUGGAGGUUGAGGUUGCCUUGAAGGUGUACCGGACCACCCAUCAAGGCACACCGCUCCGAAGCCGUUGUGUGUGUGGCCCUCCACUCCGGGUUUAUCCACCUAGAUAUGAUUUGUUGGUAGCAACGAAUCUUGUUGUUGCACCACGGAGGAACCGCCUGAAACAUGUCAAAUAUAUCCAACUUAGGAAUGAAACUAAGUUGUUUUAAUCCACGCAAUCACAGCUAAAUGAAAACUACCUUCAUGUACAUGGAACGGGUGAGAUGCACUCUACGGGCUAGCGCCUUUGGGAGAAGCAUCUUGCGUUCAUAGGCGAAAUACUUCACCACCGAAUUGACACGAGCAUGGUAAGGCAUGUCUUGGACAACCUUCUUGGCAAUCUCCUCCACAAUAUCAUUAGCUUCAUCCUCCAUACCCUCAACGCAAGUAAAGAAGUCCUACGAAAGUACAUCAAUUCACAUAAAACAGUUAUCGAUGCAAUGAUUUUGAAUAUUGCUAAAGAAAUAACUAUGAAAACUGACUAAGAAUUUUACCCAAAAAUCGUUGACCACCCGCUCUGCAGCAUUGCGGUAUUCCCUGCCCCACUUGUCUUUCAUAUCUGGAGCGCGUUUCCAAUGCUCCCAAGACCAAGCUGGCUCCUCCUCACCGUCUCCUAUGGAAACCAGGCCAGGGUAAUGAUGCCUGCAAAGACAACCAAUGAUGGUGCUUGGCUGGCGUGGCGGGAUUGUGGUUUCUGGAAUAACCACGAAGGCCCUGCACAAUAGAAAGGCAAGUGAGUUAGUAUUGGCAAAAAACUUGAAUGUAAAGACAUAGUUAAGAGUCCACAAAAGCACUUACUUCUCACCGACAGGUUUAACAAUGAUCCCUUUAUGUGGAUAUGGCCGCGAAGGGAGAGUGGACACCCCACGCAACCAUAUUUUGGUCUCCUUAGGAACCGGCCAUUCCAUGUCCUUUGCCGAUUCCUCCACCGCAUACUCUCCCUCCUCCAACUCCUCCUCCUCAACUAGGUCCUCCUCCCUCUCCUCCUCCACAGCUGGCUCCUCACUCUCCUCCUCCUCCGACUCCUCCUCAGAAUGGGCGGAGGGGAUAGGGCUAGCAACACAUGGUACAAGCAUACUAUCAACUCGUCUAGCCCGGGGACCAUCCACUGUGGCUCGUUGUGCGGGUUUGCCCCUGCCUGCCUUUGUGGAACGUGUUGCACCUGUGCCCUUCUUUUUUACCCCCAUCGCCUUGCCUAACCUUUCAAUCACAUUGCCAAGUCUCGCAACUUUUUUCUUUUUGUUGCAUGGCAUCUUUCAGUCACCUGCACCGAGAAACAAUAUUGCGAUUAGUUCAUGUUGAAAGCAUCAUAUCCAAAACAAAAUCAGUUCAUAUGCAGAAGUAGUUCAAAAGUUCAUAUGCAAAACUAAAGGAGUUGAGAAGGCCAUGUUUAAAAGUUCAUAUGCAAAAGUAGAGCACUUCAGAAGUUCACGUUUAAAAGUUCAUAUGCUAUCACAAAAAAACAUGUGCAAAAGUUCAAAAUCAUAGGGCGAGAACUUCUUGGCAAGAAGCACAAGUUCAUAGAACAUAGAGUUGUCUUACAUCUAGAAGUACAUCAAGUAUUUAGACUCGACAAAGUUCACAUUUAGGAGUAGAUAGUACAUAGAGUUGGUUUACAUCCAAAAGUACAUCAUCGCUAUCACACGUCUUGUUGGUACAAGUUCAUGGUACACAGAGUGUUACAAGUUUCAAAAGUCAUAGUCCUCAUCGUUUGGAUCAUCAGUUGGCCCGGGAGUUUCAUCGUCGCUGUCGCGCAUGUCGUCCCACCGUCUUGAAUCGUAGUCUGGAGGUGGACCGUCUGACUCAUCGUCUUCACCUAGACGGACUCGUUCAAGUAAAUUCAGGUCCAUGGGGUCUUCAAUGAUUUCAUCAACAUCUGGCUCAUCGCCUCCUUCCAUGCCAUCAUCUUCAUCUUGCUCACCGUCUACUUCCAUUUCAUCGUCGUCAGUGGGCAAGUGAAUACAAAAUUCUCCUAUGAGCCCAUCUUCCUGAUAGAACUCACCCUCAUAUGUGUUAGGAUUUAUGCGUUGGUAAUCUUCAUCGGUUGGAGCAGCUGGUUUACUAUGCGUGGGUACAUUGAUCACAACAUCCCAGCCCUUCAGGUUCUUCACAGUUUGGCAUGCAUAUGGUAGAUAGAAUACCUGCUUGGCCUGGUUAGCCAAAAUAUAGACAUCAUCUCCGUCAUACUUGUAUGCUCGCUGAAUUUCGACCAAUCCUAUGUCUGGGUGCCGCCUGACUCUGGUUGGGUCGAACCAAUGGCAUCUGAAUACAACAGGGUUUUGCCAGUCGCCCAAACCGUAAUCCAGCUCGAUCAUUUCCUCGACUCUACCAUAGUAGUAAAGUCCAUCUGACCCUAGUGUUUCGACCCCGCUGUUUAUUGUCUUUACACCGGGCCGGCUCAUGUCGUAACAAUGGGUAUGAAAGCGAUACCCAUUCACAUCGUAAGCAUUCAAUUUCUUGGCGGAACAUGUGAAGCCUAUGGCAAAAUCUUUCAAAUCGGCUCUCAUAGGGUCCCUUUUUGCCUACAAGUUCAAUAAGAAAAGUUUGAUGUAUGAGUUGAAAACGACACCAACUUGAAAUGUGGACACUAGAAGAAAGUUGGACAAAUUGGCAUACUUUUUCCGCGAACCAAGGAAUGAAACCGCCAUUUCCUUUACCGCCUUUUUUAAAGAUAUGUUCCCUCUCCUCUUCGGUAGGAGGCCUUUCUAGGUUCCAGCAUUCAAGUGUGAAUUCUCUGUAGCAAUUGGAAGGAAGUUAAGGCAUACACAAACUUAAUUGUGAUUAUUUGCGAAAAAUAUAGGAAGCACUUACUCAAUGUACGGUUGUACUUCAGGCAUGUUUGUCAACACGUACGACAUAAUAGUCAUCCACUCUGGAUGUUUUAUGUGUCUGGGUCUUCUACCACUUGCUCUGCCACCUAUCCCUGAGAAGAUGCUAAGCCGGGGUAGAUCGUCCGGGGUGAUGACAUUGUAACGAAGGAUUGGAUUGUGCUCAGUGGGAAUAUUGGCAUCAUAGUACUUUGUUGUGUUGUUUGACACCUCCUCAUUGAGGUAGGCCUCGACUAUAGAUGCUUCAAUACGACAUUUAUUCGUGCAUUUGGCACGAAGAUUCUUAUUUUCUCUCUCAGGUCCAUACAUCCAACGGUACUGCACAGCCCCCCCCCCCCCAGNNNNNNNNNNNNNNNNNNNNNNNNNNNNNNNNNNNNNNNNNNNNNNNNNNNNNNNNNNNNNNNNNNNNNNNNNNNNNNNNNNNNNNNNNNNNNNNNNNNNNNNNNNNNNNNNNNNNNNNNNNNNNNNNNNNNNNNNNNNNNNNNNNNNNNNNNNNNNNNNNNNNNNNNNNNNNNNNNNNNNNNNNNNNNNNNNNNNNNNNNNNNNNNNNNNNNNNNNNNNNNNNNNNNNNNNNNNNNNNNNNNNNNNNNNNNCCCCCCCCCCCCCAAACGCGCCUCAGACGGAAGAUGCAAGAUCAUAUGUUGCAUCGGAUUAAAGAAGCUUGGUGGAAAGAUCUUCUCUAGCUUGCACACCAACUCUGGUGCAUGUUUCUCUAGCUUGUCAACAAUUUUUGGGUCUAACUCUUUAGCACAAAGUUGACGGAAGAAAUAGCUUAACUCCGCCAGCACUCGCCAAAUCUCCUCGGAGACAAAGCCUCGAAUCAUCACCGGCAUCACCCGCUCAAGCCAGACAUGAUAAUCAUGGCUCUUGAGACCCCCUAUUCGCAAUGUAUUCAUAUUCACUCCCUUCAUUAUAUUUCCUGCGUACCCAUCAGGGAACCGCAAUUUAUCCAAGACCCACUUCAUCAUUACCUUCCUAUGCUUCCUUCCAGGGCAGAACGGGGCUGGUGGCUUGCACCACCCUUUUCUUUUGGGUCCGGGUUCGACCAUUUUUAAAUCUAGCCUAUCACAGAGUUUCUCUUGAUCAAGUCUGGCCUUGACGUUGUCCUUCGUCUUCUCAGUGUCAAAGAUUGUGCCAAAAAGGGCCUCGACGAUAUUCUUUUCAGUGUGCAUUACGUCAAUGUUAUGUGGGAGGAGGAGAUCCGCAAAGCAAGGGAGCCUCCAUAGGCAUGGUAUGUGAGUCCAGUUAUUUGUCUCUCCAUAUCCCACAAAACCUGACCCAUUGGCAUUGGGCUGGAGACCAUCUAACUGAGCCUUGAUCAUGUGACCGGUCAUCACAGGUGGUGGUGGAGCAUCCAUAACUUUACCUUUCUCGAAGUUUUUUUUGUCUUGUCUGAAUGGAUGAUCAGGAUGAAGGAACUGACGAUGCUUGUCAAAGCAGGUAUACUUCCCACCUUUCUUCAGCCAAUAGAACAUUACAUUCUGCAUACACACCGGGCAAGGCCACUUCCCAUGUACGCACCAACCGCAGAAGAUUGCACGUGCUGGUAGGUCAUGCAAGGAUGUGAAGUACCAAACAUACAUAUCAAAGUGUUUCUUUGUUAGGGCAUUGUAUGUCCGUAUCCCUUUAUCCCAAGCGACCAUCAAGUCAUCCACAAGCGGCUCCAAGUACAAACUCAUCUUCUUGCCUGGAUAUUCAGGACCUGGAAUUACCAGUGACACAAACAUGUAUUGUCGUUUCAUGCAGAAGCCAGGGGGGAGAUUCAUCGGAAUAACAAACACAGGCCAACGGCUGUAUGUGGCAUUAGUCAUACCAAAUGGAUUGAACCCAUCAAGUGUUAUCGCAAUAGCUACACUGUCCUGUUUACCAACUUUGUUUGGGUAUCGCUUAACAAAAUCCUUCCAUGCUUCAGCAUCAGACGGAUGUAUCACGACACCAGGCCGGUAUCUAGUCCCUUCUGCCGCCCACUUCAUGUUUUGGGCAGACUCCGCGGACAUAAAGAGACGUUGGAUCCUUCGUAUGGGAUCAAGAUACCGAAGGACCUUGUGUGGGAUCUUGAGCUGCCUCUUGUGACCAUCAUCACCGUCAACCUCAAUAUACCUAGAGGAUUGGCACUUUGGGCAGUAAUUAUCAUCCGCGUGUUCUUUCCUAAAUAAGAUACAUUUGUUUGGACAAACAUGUAUCCGCUCAUAUGGCAGCUUAAGUUCACUGAAGAUUUUGUUUGACUCAUACAUGUUCUUUGGCAAAAUGUUGUCUUUUGGCAAAAGAGUGUGAACAACGGUCAGAAGUGUAUCAAAGCAAGAUCUAGUCCAGCCAAACUGGGCCUUCACAGCAAGCAGGCGUGCCAUGCCAUCCAGUUGAGUGACCUCUGUAUGCCCGUGUAAGGGUCUCUGUGCCCCAUUCAAAGUUUCAUAGAACUUACUCGUCAUUUGCUCCUCAUCCUCCUCCCCCAGCCCCUCUUCACCUACGACAGGAUUUUUGGGCGCUGCAGCAUUUUCUAGGUCAUCUAGCAUGAAUUCAACAUGAGUAACAUAUUCGGGUGAGUCUGUGCGUUGUCGUACCACCGACUCUCUCGCACGCUGGGGCUCAAACUCACCAUGCGCGACCCACCGAUGGUAGUUUGGCAUAAACCCAUUCUUAAGAAGGUGCCAACCCAUUUCAUCCUUUGUUUUUUCCUUGUUGUUCCCACAACUGGUGCAAGGGCACCAAACUCCACCAUGUCUUGUGUGUCUGGCAAAUGCUACUUCCAAGAACUGAUUUGUCUUUGUAAUCCAUUCUGGAAGCACAUCCCCUCCACUCAGUCGUCCACUAUACAUCCACUCACGAUCCUCCAUCUGAUGUGUUUUUCAUUGACCAAGUAGUUUCAACCAGUAUUAGUUCAAUUAAUUACAACUAUUCAAUUUUUACGGCAUGAACUCAAAACUACCUAAUAGGUAAGGAUGGGUCCUAAUCCCACCCGAGGAUGUGUAGGUUGGCUUCGCUUUCAUGCCCUACUCCGAUCCGACACAGAAUUUUGGCAGCACCUCCCCGCUGUUCUCGAAAUACACGUCUCGACAUAAGCAGAGAGAAUGUGUAUCCGGAGAACAACGGGGAGACGCUGCCAAAAUUCUGUGUCGGAUGGAGUAGUGCAUGAAAGCGAAGCCAGCCUACACAUCCUCGGGCUGUCCGUGGAAAACGCUGGACAAUUCGAAAGAGUUACGGUUAUAAAUAUGCAAAGAGUUGCAUAUUUAUAAAUAAUGUAACUUUUUCGAACGGGAGACACAUAGGUAACGCGACUAGCUAGCUACAUGAUUUACAUAUAUAUAAAUCCUUUGAGGCAAAUUAUUCUUACCCUCGAAGUGUGCUCGGCAAUGGUUGUCCCUCCAGCAAAAAGCCUUGCCACGACCCUUCCAAUGUCAAAUUGAUGUGUGUCCUACAAUAAAGUGAAAACUAGAAUCAAACAUAAUUCACAUGCACAAACCAAAACACAACAUAUUCUACAGUUCCUUAAUAAGUCGUUCUUCGUUUAUUUGCCACCCGACAUGUUUGAUAAUUAUCCAUGUUCCUCGUGUUAUAUCAUCCAUAGUUACUAUUACUUCAAAAUUAAACUAACCCAAGAAAUUAUUAGCAAGACCAAAUUCCAAAUGGCUUUCUUUGAUGUAAUUCUCAAACAAAUCAGAUUUUCUGUUGUUUUCUGUUGCACCACCUUUCAAACACCUUUCUCAAACUAUAAUGUAAGAAUCUACAACCUUUCAAACAUUUCAGGUUGUUUUCUGUUGCACCACCAACAAACAAAUGAAUCUCUGAUUUUAAAUCACCUAAAACUUGACACCACUUCAUAGCAUAUCUGCAUAUCCACCUUAGCUACAUAGAUACAUGCACCACCGAAAAUGAACCUUCCACCUCAAAUAAUGCUAGGAGGAGCACCUUGCUGCUGGAGGAAAAUCUUCUAGCACCUUGCUGCUGGAGGAGCCUAGUCUGUGAGCACCUUGCUGCUGGAGGAGCCUAGUCUAUCUGCAAAAACAGAAACACCCAGUCAGAGAGAUAAGAGAGAGAGAUAUAGGGAGAGAGAGAGACUUACCAGUGCAGGGGCCGGUGGAGGGGGCUGGCGCAGGGGCGGUGGAGGGGGCCGGUGCGGUGGAGGUAGUUGGGGUGGGGAGCUCGGUGCAGGGGCAGCAGUGGUGGGAUCUGCUGCGCGAGGUGGAGGGGAGAGGUGAGUGAGCGCAGGAUUUGGAAAAAAAACCAGAAAGCGCGGUCUAUUUUGGAGAAAGCGCGCGUGAUAUUUGGCUAACUCCCGCGUUUUCUGUAUAUGGAGUAAGCCGGGAGCAAAAAUGUAAGCCGAGUGCCCUAUGACAAGUACACACAGCUUACACAUGAAAAUAUGUUCAUGUGUGUGCAAAUUCGUGUUUAACUUCUAUUUUGAAUAUUCGUGUUUUUAACUUCCAUGACAUUCAUCUGGUAUGGUAUUUAAUUACUUCAAAUUCACAUCAUAGUUUUUUUAUUGACAUGACCAAGAAAUACCUAGAGCAAUACUGUAAGGUUUUUAGAUUACUAUUAAGGCAUUACGUAUAGUGCCAAAUUUUAUUUCUUUUACAUACUUCGAGAAAAUAAAAAUGUUGGUUGCACUAAAUCUAAUCUUGAAACUUUGGCAGGAAUAAAAUCGGUUUCUUUAUGGCUCUGAACCAUAUGAUGUCCUAUGUGAUGUAUUUGUGACAUGGGUAUGCCUUGUGCAGUCGUGGGAGGGGCAGCCCCAGUCCUCAGGAUCAGGCACGACGUCAUCACAUGCCCCUUGUAGGGUGUCGUAAAAGUUUGGACGCGGUCUGGGUGGGCCUUACCCGAGGCCGUUUGUAAACUGCACCAUCUUCGAGGUAGUCUCUUGGUAUCGAGAGGGAACGUGUCACGUUUGUGAAGGAAGUGUCGGUCAUGUUGCUCCGUUGGCAUCGAAACUCCUCGUGCUCUCAGAGGAGGCCAUCAAAUAACACGUGUCAGGCCCCCGCAUUUUUCUGACCCGCCUACAAUAUUUGAGACAUUAUUGCAAUUCUAGGGUUUCAGUGUCGUAAAUUGCAGAUCUGCAAGGCGACACAUGAAAUCAUGCCCAGAAGAAGCAUGGAAAAUCCUAUGUGAUGUAUUUGUGACAUGGGUAUGCCUUGUGCACUCGUGGGACGUGCAGCCCCAGUCAUCGGGGGUACGAAAUCACUUGGGUGACAUGCCUCAUCAAACCGUUUGAAGCCUCGGAAAAUGGUACGAUGCCAGACAUCAUCACAUGCCCCUUGUACGGUGUCGUAAAAGUUUGGACGCGGUCUGGGUGGGGCUUACCCGAGGCCGCUUGUAAACUGCACCAUCUUCGAGGUAGUCUCUUGGUAUCGAGAGGGAACGUGUCACGUUUGUGAAGGAAGUGUUGGUCAUGUUGCUCCGUUGGCAUCGAAACUCCUCGUGCUCUCAGAGGAGGCCAUCGAAUGACACGUGUCAGGCCCGUGCAUUUUUCUGACCCGACUACAAUAUUUGAGACAUUUAUUGCAAUUCUAGGGUUUCAGUGCCGGAAAUUGCAGAUCUGCAAGGCGACACAUGAAAUCAUGCCCAGAAGAAGCAUGGAAAAUCCUAUGUGAUGUAUUUGUGACAUGGGCAUGCCUUGUGCAAGCGUGGGAGGGGCAGCCCCAGCCAUCGGGGGUACGAAAUCACUUGGGUGACAUGCCUCAUCAAACCGUUUGAAGCCUCGGAAAAGGGUAGGAUGCCAGAAAUCCUUAGGAUCAGGCACGACGUCAUCACAUGCCCCUUGUAGGGUGUCGUAAAAGUUUGGACGCGGUCUGGGUGGGGCUUACCCGAGGCCGUUUGUAAACUGCACCAUCUUCGAGGUAGUCUCUUGGUAUCGAGAGGGAACGCGUCACGUUUGUGAAGGAAGUGUCGGACAUGUUGCUCCGUUGGCAUCAAAACUCCUCGUGCUCUCAGAGAAGGCCAUCAAAUGACACGUGUCAGGCCCCCGCAUUUUUCUGACCCGCCUACAAUAUUUGAGACAUUUCUUGCAAUUCUAGGGUUUCAGUGUCGGAAAUUGCAGAUCUGCAAGGCGACACAUGAAAUCAUGCCCAGAAGAAGCAUGGAAAAUCCUAUGUGAUGUAUUUGUGACAUGGGUAUGCCUUGUGCAGGCGUGGGAGGGGCAGCCCCAGCCAUCGGGGGUACGAAAUCACUUGGGUGACAUGCCUCAUCAAACCGGGUGGGCACGUUCCGGGUGGGCCCACAACUAUUUGAGACAUUUAUUGCANNNNNNNNNNNNNNNNNNNNNNNNNNNNNNNNNNNNNNNNNNNNNNNNNNNNNNNNNNNNNNNNNNNNNNNNNNNNNNNNNNNNNNNNNNNNNNNNNNNNNNNNNNNNNNNNNNNNNNNNNNNNNNNNNNNNNNNNNNNNNNNNNNNNNNNNNNNNNNNNNNNNNNNNNNNNNNNNNNNNNNNNNNNNNNNNNNNNNNNNNNNNNNNNNNNNNNNNNNNNNNNNNNNNNNNNNNNNNNNNNNNNNNNNNNNNNNNNNNNNNNNNNNNNNNCCCCCCCCCCCCCUACACGGUCUAUAGCCGACAUGAGAGACAUUCCUGUGGUAAAAUGAAUAAAUAAGUAACAUUCAGGGAUUAAAGAUAAAUGCAAGGGAAACCACUUUAGAACUUUUUUGAAUUUGAAAAUCUAUAAAAUAUAAACCGAGUGCUUUUGCAGAACACACGGCAUAUAGUGUGUAAGCCGUGUCUACUUACCAAGCACACGGCGUAUACUAUGUGUAAGCCGUGUGUUCUUGUCAAGCACACGGCUNNNNNNNNNNNNNNNNNNNNNNNNNNNNNNNNNNNNNNNNNNNNNNNNNNNNNNNNNNNNNNNNNNNNNNNNNNNNNNNNNNNNNNNNNNNNNNNNNNNNNNNNNNNNNNNNNNNNNNNNNNNNNNNNNNNNNNNNNNNNNNNNNNNNNNNNNNNNNNNNNNNNNNNNNNNNNNNNNNNNNNNNNNNNNNNNNNNNNNNNNNNNNNNNNNNNNNNNNNNNNNNNNNNNNNNNNNNNNNNNNNNNNNNNNNNNNNNNNNNNNNCUUGUCAAGCACACGGCUUAUAGUGUGUCUAAGCCGUGUGUACUUGUCAAGCACACGGCUUAUAGCUCAAGCCGUGACGGCGCCGUCAAACACCGUUGUUGUAGACACGUGGCGGGUACCUUUACCGGGUGACACGCUAUAAACCGAAUACUUUCUUCAUAUAUACCGUGUGAAAACUAUAAGCCGAGAGCUUUUUUUGGACACUCGGCUUAUAUGAUAGCAUAAGCCGAGUGCAUUGUUUUUACCUGGUGUUUUUGCUUGUGUACACGGCUUAUAUUUAAAUAAGCCGAGUACCCGAAAAAAAAAACACGAUUUAUAGCUUGCCACACGGUAAAACGUGAUUUUCCUGUAGUGGCAGCAGCAAGAAUCACAAUCGCCGGCGGGCAGCAGCCGGCGGCGAACGGAGGCUUUUCCGGGGAAAGAACUGCAGGGUGCUACAAGUAGUUCGGUUGUGCGAGAGAAUAUCAAUGCUAAUCGUAAAAUGGGCUAGUAGAAGAGCAGCACCGAUCCACAAAAUGGGGCCUGUUACAAGGCGAUAUCAAUGCUAAUCGCAAAUGCCGUUUUAGGAUACACUUUUAGUGGGGAUUGGUUUUUAGUCUGUAAUCUUUCACACGGAUUUGGUAAGGCUAGCUCUACAUUUAAAAAAAUCAUGGUGUACUUUUACUUUCCAAACAGGAAAAGGAAAGAAUUCUCAAAAAAAAAAAACAGGAAAAGGAAAGAAAAGACAUUGAACACCAACCCGCACGCUACAGAUGCACCUACGAAGCGACCGGAGAAAAAAAAAGGCAAUGUCAUAAAAAAGGAACUACAGUAGUUCGAGCCGGCCCACGUGGGGUGUUCAACGGGCGACCCGCUUUAUGGGUGAGCUAGACGCGCCCUGUGCUAAUUGCCUCCUAAGUCACCCUGGGCGUCCGGCUAUUUCAGUUCGGGUAGUUUGAUUUAUGGGUAAGUUGGGUACUUCAAAAUGAAAACCGAAUUUUUUUUUCUGCCAAAAAGAUAUCCGAACCCAAAUUAUCCAAAAUUUUGGUUCGGGUACAAAAACCCCAAAAUAUUCGAAGCAUACAUCAAAUUUUAAUAUAAAUAUAAUUUGGAUAGUAUGCAUAUUUCAUGAAGAUGUCAUUCCAUCAAGUAGGAUAGAUCUAAAGAUGCCGUUGCAUACAAAAACCUGGCUAAUCUCUGAACGGAUGACUGAAUUUUUGGCCGAAACGUUACAUGACACACUAACAUAGAAGGAAACUGACAUAUCUGGAGGCAGAGAGGCAAAAGCUUUGAUGUUGGAGACCCAGCUGUUGUCGUUGAUGUCCAUAACCUGUGCCAAACUAUGAUCGAUGAGCCACCUUUGCCGUUGCCGUCACCCUGUCAUGAUGGUUCUGCAGUUUCAGAUUGGUGGAUGAAACCCACAGGAACAUCCGGUCGUCAUCUCCAUCAGUGCCUCACUCGUCACAUCCGAUCCUCUGACAUGCAACUCAUGAAGCUGAGUAAACAGUAAAUAAUGCUGGAAAUUCUGACCUGAAGGCAGAGUUGGACACUCCAGUUUGGUAGCACUUGCUCUGUUUCCUAAAUAAAACAUGAAAAUUUACUCCUGACUAAACUGUGCUAGAAGAGUCACUACAUACAAACAAAAAAAGGAACGUCAUUUGCUCUCACAACAAAAAUGGAGUAGCAGCUCACACACGCAGUUGGUGAUACAGUGACUAGUGAAACCACACGGAAAGAGAUAUAAAAAAGGUCAUUCUUCUAAAAUAUCACGGAACAUAUUUUUAAACAGUGGACAAUUUUAAUUGUAAUAUUCAUCGCGUAUGAAGAAAUGUUCAUCAAAUGUUUAGAAAAGUUUGGUAGAUAUUAAAUAAAAGGUUCAUAGUGCAUCAAACAAUAUUCGCCGCGUAUUUAACAUGUAUAACAAACACUGUUCAUUGUUUGUGUAAAAAAGGCUCAUGGGAUAAUGAAAAUUAAGUAUCAUUUGUUGAAAAUUAGCAUCAUUUAUUUGAAAACGUUUUAUUUUGUUGAAAUGUGUUUUAUCAUUUUCAUUUAAAUUUUGUUUCCAAAUCUUUAAUAAAUAUUUGUUUAUUUUUGAAAAAGUGCUCGUACAUUUAAAAGAUUGAUGGUGUACUUUUGAAAACAGGAAAAGGAAAGAAAAAACGUUGAACACCAACCCGCACGCUGCAGAUGCAUGGACCAAGCCACUUGAGGGACGCUCCCUGUGCAAAUUGCCUUGUGAGGGAAAUGAUGAAACUCUACCUUCUUAAACUCUCUAUGAAUGUAGCAAAUUUUGCUGAUGAAUGUCUCACUUCACCCUACUUGGGGAUCUAUGAAUGUUCGGAAGCUUAAACUCUCUUCUCGAAGCGAUAUGCCCCUUCAAUUCUUGAACAAGACUGGAGCAUCUAGCUUAGCCACAUCCUUUCCUGAUGCUAACGACAUUGACAAAGGUUUGUGGUACGUACAGGCCCACUCAAGGAUCGCCGGUAACUGGGGAGCUAGAGCCAGUGCUACCAUUCCAUGCACGCCUGCAACUCUGUCCAAGAUGCAGCCGCACAUACAUACAUAUAUAUAUACUGUCUGUCUCGGAAUAAUACAUGUAUACCACACAACCAUGACCAUGAGUACGUGUUUCAGCAGCUUCUGUACGUACAUGCUUGCUACUGACGGAAGGUCACAGCUACAGACAUCUGAGCCGGACAGGGUUGUUUCAAAUCAGACACACAUCACACAGAGUCAUUCAUUUUUUUAAAAAGAAGGCCUCGCCCCGGCCUCUGCAUACACAGAGUCAUUCAUGACGAACAAGAAGGGCGUGUUCGGCUUCCAACCGCUCCGCGACUCAACUCUUGGAGCUGGCCGAGUUGAAGUGAAAAAUCAUGGAGCUCGGGAAUAGAUGCACCGCAGAUCCUUAAUUUUUGUGAAGCUGGUGUGUUGCCGAACAGCUCCCAAAUACAGUGGCAUGCCAAAGUUACCGGCGAUAGAUCCACGCCUGCAACUCUGUCCAAGAUAGAGGACGCACAUAACAUAACUUGGCGCAUUCCGUGGAACAGGAAAAUACAGUGACAUAGUACUUAAAUUAAGUAUCACAGAAUUCUUGGCUCACAAACAAAAGCACGGCAAUAGACUAGGUUGGUUGUAGUGAUGGUGUUUUUUUUCGAAAAGGAGGCCUUGCCCCGGCCUCUGCAUCGAGAGAUGCAUACAGCCAUAUAUUAAUCAAAAUAAGUAUUCAGAAAGUAUAGAGUAUAUGAAAAAACAAAAAGAUACAAGGCGAACAUCGCGCCGCAGCCUGGAGUGGCUAAAAGAUCAAGAUGACUAAACACCUAUCCUAUUAAUAUGCCGCCAUCCAAACCGGUUGAAGAUACCCUGUGCUACCAUCUCCCAACAGGCACACCCAGUAACCAUAAGCUCCCUGGCUGCCACCGGAGUUAGUGACGACCAUGUGCGGAUCAGUGCGGUAAUUCGGUAGAUAACCUGCAAGAAUUGGAUGUCACGAGAGCCUUGACAGCUUGCUAAUCUUUAUGGCAGGCAUUUCUCCAUGUCUUGGGCUUCAUUAGACUAGGCUCUGUUCACAAGUGGCGUCACAGGAAAUUCGUAAGAACUAAUGCAGCAUCAGAGAUUACACUAAUGCAGUGAAGGUACGAAAAAGAAUAGAUGUAAACUCCAAUGUUGGUUGUCGUCGUGUUGUUACCGUUAUCUUUGCUGUGUGCUGUUACCAUUAUCUAACUACUCCCUCCGUUCCUAAAUAUAAGAUCUUUUAGAGAUUGCACUAUAAACUACAUACGGAUGUAUAUAGACAUAUUUUAGAGUAUACAUUCAUUCAUUUUACUUCGUAUGUAGUCUCCUAGUGAAAUCUCUAAAAGGUCUUAUAUUUUGGAACGGAGGGAGUAGUUGAUUGAAUAUAUUCUCUAGUAAGUGCACAUGUGUAUGUAAUGCAGCCCCCACAAAAAAAACAGAGUCUCCUUGUUUAAUUACGACUUAUCUACCUGACUAAAGAAAUUGAUCCAGCUCAAGUAGUACGUAUUAUAUCUGGAAGGAUGUCUCAAUUUGUUGCUGAAACGUGACAAACCAAUAGACAAAGAAACUGACGAGUGCGCACAUACCUUGAUAGCUUGCAUCUAGACUUUUGUACCCGAGGCUGCUUAGACAUUGUUGCAGGCCUGUAGGGAGCAUCUUUAUACCAGGACAGUUUCGAAUCCUAAGAGACCGGAGAGAUGCGUAUGAUUGCGGCCCAUCAGGUAGGGAUGACAGGCUUUUGCAAUUUACAAUAGAAAGGCUCUCCAACGAUGGGAACUCUCCAGAGUGAGAUUCCACUGAUCUCAACUCGCAGCACUUAAAAACGGUAAUUUCCUUGAGGGAUGGGGGGAGACCGAGGACCCCUGUUAAGCCGUCACACCGUGAUAUCAAUAUCUCUUCUAAACAUGGAAAGCGAAAAUGUUUCACCCUGGCUACGGCUGAUGGUGAUGUCACCUCUGAAUGUACAGGUGACCCUUCAAGAAUCGAUGAUGCUGACUCUCCACUCUGCAGACUCCUGCUGAAUAUGGAUUUGAGCUUACUGCAAUCCUCAAUUCUCAUAUUCCUCAGGGAUGCAGGGAGUUUGAAGAUCUCUACCAUGCUUUCACAACCCCAUAUCUCGAGAGACUUGAGAUGUGGCAGGGGCUGACUCGAGGGUUCUGAUACUGUUGAUGGCUCAGCUGCAGGAGCAUCUCCGCAUCCAACCAGUUGUUUGCAGUAUCUAAUCUGUAGAGUCCUCAAUGACACCAAGCUUUGGAACUCUUUCUCUGGCCAGUGGACAAGUGCAGCACAAUCACGAAUGUACAAGUGCUGAAGCUGUACAAAACAUGCACAUAGCUCGGUUACACCUGACUUUAAGCCAUUUAAGCUCAUCUCUGCCAGAGGGAAAUCAUGAUGAUUCCAUUUUUCCCUGGCGUUCACCACUUGUGUACUAUAACUAUGAUCACCCACCGCUACCGAGGUUGUUUCCGUGUUUUUACGGUUCUGCAGCUUCAGAUUGGUCAACGAAGUCAAAUAUCUAGCUAACCACAGGAAUAGUUCUUCCUCGCCUCCCUCAAAGUCUAACACGGUCAGCUUUGGCCAUUUAGCAUUCAUUGCCAGCUUUGGACAAUCUGUAACACACAACUUCUCAAGCUGAGGAAACAGUAUGUCUUUCUCCUCAUUUGUUGUUUCCCACAAUCCUUCCAAACAAUCCAGACCUUGUAGUGUAAACUCCUUCAGAUUUGGAAAAGUGAAGGAUGUGCCACAACUGAAUAACCAUUGAAGUUUUUUACAAUCGGAAAGAUGGAUCUCAACCAUGUUUAGCAAGAUAGCCAUCCAUGUUGGAAAGGUGGUGCCUCCGUAGGAUUCUAUCCUUGUAGCCUGCAGCCCAUCAUGAGGUUCGAGACCCUCGAGCACUCUUGCAUCAUCCCUACCACCAACGGUCCAUCUUAAUGACAAUUCUCGAAGUUCCUUCUUGUUUUUGAGAUUUGCUGCUUUUGCAUCUUCUUCUGUCACAUUCUCUAGUUGAUGUAUCUGCAGCUCACCACCAAGGUUUAACUGUUGCAACUCUCCAACACCACUGCACUCAGAGCCAGCAGGACCUGCUACAAAACAUGUAAGUGUCUGUAGUGACAUGAGUUUUCCUAGAUCACCAGGCAUGUUCCUCAUCCCUGGACAAUUAUGAGUGUAGAGAUGACGGAGGGCAGUCAUAUACUUCAACUGCCUUGGAAGCCGACAAAGUUGAUAGCAGCCAGAGACAUUCAAUGUUUGCAGGUUAUAUAAAAUGCUAAUAUCUUCCGGAAGUGCUUCAAUACCACUGUUUGAGAUAUCAAGGUUCCUUAAGUGCGGCAGAUGCCUUGAUUUCAAGGGGAAUACCCUGCUCCAUGUAUAGAGCUGUAAUGCCUUCAAAGAGCUGUAUUUUGAUAAAUGCUGCAGUGGAUGUUUCAUUUUCCUAUCGCACAGAAGUGUCUGCAUUGCUGGAGAUAUUUUCGCCAGAGAAUCAUUCAAAUUAAUUUCUGGUUCUUCACAAGACAAAAGUAAGUGGCGAGCUGUAUCUGGAAGCCAAUCAGUCUGACCUGGCUUCUCAGGUGCGAGAGCACAUUCUUUUUCCAUUGUAGAUAGUGCAACAUCAUGCAUCAGAUCGUGGAUUUUACAUGUAUGCUUGGAAUAAUUAUCCCUCCUACUACGCUCGUUGAAUGAGACUCGGACUUGCUUCACUUCCACAAAGAAUGACCUUGAGGCCAGCUCAUUGAAAAUCCAUUGGCCAAUUGUCUCAGGACGGACUUCUUUUUGUUCCUGGAUAAAACCAUGUGCGAUCCAUAGUUGGAUCAGCUUGUCCACAUCAAUUUCAUAAUCCUUGGGAAACACAGCACAGAAAGAAAAGAGUAAAAGGCGCUGACGGUCAUAGAACUUGUGUUGCGGGUGCACUUAAGUCCCGCUACUUGCAAACCGAAAAAACCCGUCACAGAACUUGCGAUGCGGGCUUAUCUAGGUCACAACCGCCAGUUGGACCGGUCCGCUGCCCGGUUUUCUUCGUUCGCGGUCACGCGAGGCUCACGUGUGAUGUUAUUUUUGCACAGAAGACCCUGGUGAUUAACGAUGAGGGGCGUAUUGCACAUUUGACAUAUGAUAAAUCGUUUUUCCCCUUCCUCUGUUUUCGUUGCUGUGUUUGCUCCUCCUUCCAGAUCCGAACUCGCGUCAGAAAUAACCAGGCAAAAUGGGGGGCGGCGUGGGUGGCAGUGAUGUGGCCUUUGUUGGAGGUGCAGGCGGCGCAACAACUGGAGGGAUUUCGUCCGCGUCUCGCAUCCCGGACUCGCGGAUCUUCCCACAAGAGGUGUGGCAGCGCGGUGAGCCGGAGAUGCGGCCCGAACGCGGCCGCGUUCUCAUCGCUCGCGCUUCUGGCAUGGCGGCGCUCGAGCGGGCGUUCCUGGGGCAUGCAUUGUAUGCCGUCAUCAUCGGACAGCCACGGACGAAGGUGACGCCGGAGGCACUCGCCGCGGUGGUAGAGUUCGAGUCUGGCAUCCUGCCGUCGCAGAUGACAGUGGAGGUAACCGGCCCACCAUUCCACUUCUUUUUGCGGUUCCAUUCAGUGGAGGAUUGCACUCGUGUGGUGUACGCAUCGGAACAUCUGCGCUGCGGCGGAAGCAGGAUUGGUUUUCAGAGGUGGUCAAGCUGGUCGCGUGGCAAGCCGUCGCAGCUGUCGUUCAAGACGACGCUUAGUUUUGAGGGGCUACCGGAAGAGGCGUGGGAUGAAGACACUAUAAACCUGGUGCUCGCAGGUGUCGACGGCGAGUUCAUCGACAUGCUCCCUUCUACAGACAAGUGGUUGCUGCAUUGCACGGCGUGGCUACGCAAUCCUAGCGCAGUGCCGAAGUUGCUUACUGUGUCUGUGCCUGCACCUUCUCUGCAACCCUGGAAGCCAGACUCUGAUGACGAGAAUGCUCAUUCACCGCCGCGUCCGCUCUCUCCAACUGAUCGUCGAUGCAUCGAUUAUACUGUGAUCAUGCAUGUGAAGGAGGUCAUUGACCGUGGGCCAUUGCUAACAGAAGGUUUGGCUGAUGAAUUCCUCCCUGACGAAGGUGUUGAUCUAACACGCAAGCACAAAUUUGCAACCUGGCGAGGCAAGAUAGAUGGCACUGGCCCUGGAACAAAUGGCAAAGCUUAAGAGCACUGUAAUAGCUAUCUUGUUAUGAUGUACUGUAAUAGCUAUCUUGUUAUGAUGUACUGUAAUAGCACUGUAAUAGCUAUCUUGUUAUGAUGUACUGGCCCUGGAAUUCUAUUUGUUCAUGAUGUACUGGAGAUGUCAGUUGGACUUGUUUCAGUAAACAACAAACAAAUGAUCUGCUGCAACAUAGUACUUCCUUCCUUCAGCAUAAGUCAUAACAGUUCCAGUACUGAACUUAGUCAUAAUAGUUCCAGUACCAAAAGUCAUAAUAACUUAGUACACAAUAAAAUAAAAACAACAGUUGGACAUUUCAAUUUCACUCUUCAAUUCCUGGAGCUCCUUGUGUGGUCUGGACUUCAUCUUCCACAGUUUGUGAGCUUGUUCCUUCACCAAAUAGUAGCCACUGCAAACCCCUUGUCUUGGUUGGUUUCUUUGCUCUUUGCAACAACCUUGUAGUAGCUGCACUUCUCCUUGAUCUGCUUCCUCUUGUUCCUCCACCUCCUCUUCUACCUCUGCCUCUGCCACUGCCACAUGUUGAGGCUACUCUUACUCAUGUGGUUGUUGUAGUUGUUGCUGGAUGUGCACCACCAGUGGGCCCUGAUAAGUUGGUUCUGCUCUCUACUACAAAUGCACUUUCUUCUGGUAUUCUGUGAGCCCUGUUAAUAGGAACACCUUUUGCAGGUCCCUAUGAGAGGAGUUAAUAGGAACAAUUAGUGACCUAUUCUCAAAGAUAAUUUUAAAUUUAGUUCUAAUUCUUUUACCUCAUGUGACAAUAUGUGCACCAUGCUUUCUUUGAUCUGUGUUGGGUCCAUUUGUGGCCUCAUAGGUUUUUGUUUCAUGUGCUAGUAAACAAAAAAACAAACAAUGUUGUCAGCAUCCAUUAUAAUUAUUUGCAACAUUUGCAAAAUUGAUGUGUUGAUACUUACUGUUAGGAUCACUGGGAAGUCCACAUCUCCACACUCAUCAACAAUCUUUUUGGACUUCUUUUUCUUUGCCUUCUCCAUCAUUUCUUCUAUCUGUUGCAACAUCUUAUCAGUAGGCUUUCUUUUCCUGCCCCUUUUAGUUUGUGCUGUAGGUUGCUCAGUGCCAGCAUGCUCCUCUUCCACCUCUUCUUCAUUUUGUUGCUCAUGCACCUCUUCUUCAUUUUCUUGCUCAUGUACCUCCCUUUCAGUUUCUCUUAAUAUAGCACAUUUCAGUAGUGAGCAUCCACUUCUGUUAUGCCCAGGUAGUUUACAAUACCCACAGUGCAUAAUUGCUCCAUGCCUGCUUAGUUUAGUGCCAUCUUCAUUCUCCUCUGGUUGCUUCCUUCUAUUCUUCCUCCUCCUCCCAGCUUUUUUCUCAUAGUGUGGUGGCAGUACAUGUGUUGCAUUUACUGGGGACCACUCAUCUUUGUCCCUGGUUGGAUAUAUCUGAACUCCAUAAGCACACAGAUAUGUCUGCAGUGAAUAACAGGAAGAAACCAUGGUCUCUGGCCUAAUUCUUUCAUGUCUGCAGCAAGCACAUGCAUGGCUACAUGGGAUUCCAGUAAGCUGCCACCUUCUGCAAGUACAUGUAUGCAUGUUCAGCUCAACAAUGUAGGUUUUCUCAUUGGACAAAACUCCAAACACACCCAUGCCUGAUUCUUCUGGGUGGCAGUUGGCUGACAACUCAACAUUCUUCCUUAGUUUGUCCCUAACUUUGGGAGUAAUAUGUCCUGUCCAUUUUUGAAGAGCUUCUUUUUGUUUUGACAUGUGUCUAUGCAUUAACUGAGAUCUUAUUCUCUCAUACAUAGACAUGACAGGUAGCUCUCUGGCUUCUAGUAUAUACCUGUUGAAUACUUCCCAAGUAUUGUUCAAAAGAAUGUCACAUUUUGGAAAUUCACUAAAAAAUGCUCUAGACCAUUGAUUUGGUGGCUUUUCCUCCAACCAUGCAUAUGCUGCUGCAUUGUCUUGCCUCAACUUGUCCAUAUUCUGCUCAAAUACAGUAGGUGUGGUUGAUUUUGCACAAAUCCAGAGUUGUUGCCUGAUAGUUUCUCCCUUGUGGACUGCAUGGAGAUUUUCAUACAAGUGUCUGACACAGAACCUAUGCUCAGAGUCAUGAAAAUGCUCCUGCACAGCUUUGAUGAGGCCCUUUUGUUUAUCACUCAUAAUAGUGAAUGUGCUAGUGUUCAUGAUAUUUAGAUCUUGCUUUAGUGUAUACAAGAACCAAGACCAUGAUGCAUAGCACUCUGUCUCCACCACUGCCAUUGCAAUUGGAUAUAUAGAAUCAUUCCCAUCUAUUCCAACUGCAGUAAGUAGUUGCCCACCAUAUUUUGUCUUUAUGAAAGUACCAUCAAGACAUAUUAUUGGCCUGCAGCCCUUUAACCACCCUAUCUUGCAUGCUGCAAGACUAAAGUAACAUGUGCUAAACAAUCCAUUUUCUAGGUUUAGAUAGAAAGAAGAUCCUGGGUUGGUUGUUCUCAAUUCCUGUGCAUACUUCCAAAGAAGUGUAUAUUGCUUCACCUCAUCCCCAUGCACCACAGCCAAUGCUGCUUUCCUAGCUCUCCCUAGUUUAUGCCUGCUUACUUCCAUGUUGUAUUUCUUCCUCACUUUCCUUGCAAAUGUAGACAAAGACAUCUUGUCAUUGUCCCUGAACAUCUCCACAUAUUUUUUGGCCAGAAAAGGGGCUGUAAGUUCUUUCACAUCCCAUACUUUCUCACAAUUAUGCUCUCCAACAAAUGUUUUGACAAGAAAGGAUUGGGUCCUGUUAUCUGCCACAGCUACAAGUUUCCAAGGGCAACCCUCUGUACAUACUGCCUCAAACCUCUUUUUGUUAUUUCUUUUUUUCUUGAUCUGCACUCUGUUCUUAACUGCAUAAUGUGCUACUGCAGUUCUCAACAACUCCACUGAAUCAAAAACCAUACCUAGUUUGAAUUGAGGAUUUUCCAUCUCAACUAGUGGGUUGAAUGUUUUGAACCUGUAUAUGGGUUUCUCUUUCUUUUUCUUCUUCAUGUACUCCUCAUCAUCAGAGUCACUCUUCUGCAUCUUCUCACAAUCAUCUUCUUCUGGUAGCUACAGUUCCUCUUCAGUAACAUCAUCUGAGCCUGGAACAUGUCUGUACUCAGCUCCUACUUUCUUCCCCUGCUCAAGCAAUGCAUCCUUCACAGCAUCAUCUACAUUUUUAUCAUACAAAUCAUCAUCAUCAUCCACUGCAUAAUCACUAUCAUACCAUGUUGGAUCAUGCUCUGAAUCACAUUCCCAUUCCUCUUCUGCAUCUGAUGACUUGUCUGAACUAUCUGCAUCUUCAGCACUCUUUGUAGUAGCUGUGUUGCUCUCUUUUUUCAUAUGCCUCCUUUUCUCUUCCCUCAUAGGGCUAAGUAUUACUUCAGGCAAUUCAGGCCCAACCCUAUAAGCAAUGUCAUCUUCCUCAUCCUCCAAUUCUUUAAUCUCAGUUCUUUUCACAUGCUUCACAAACAAAACAAGCACCUUUGAAUUAACAGAAGCUUCAGCCAUCUUCAAACAGUCCACUUCAAAAUCAAUUGACACCAUUUCUGAAAUUGUCUUACCAGGUGGGCACCAGAAAACAAUGUCCAACUCACAAGGUGGAUAUCUCAGCUAACCCAACAUAUAGUCAAUCAUAUCAUUGCAGAAAGUGUUCCUAUCAAGGUUAUCAAAGAAUGCUACUUUUUCAUCCAAAUAAGCCAAAUUAAUUCCUUUUCCCAUGAAAAAGCCACCAUGAUGAAUCUCAAUACUGAACUUUACUGAAUCCGAACCUACAUUGCGAAAAUCAUGGAAGAUUAGCCCUAGAUCGGCCGCUGAGGGGGAGGAAAACUAAACCUACGGGAGGGGAGGGGGAAGAAACUGACCGUAGAUCGGCUGGCAAACAUCUUCUGUACUCAACUUCAGCAACCUCUCCAUCACCUCCAUCAGCUCAUUACUUCCCGCCGACGAGCUCGACGCACCAGCACGGCGGCCGCCUGUCGCCUCCCUCAUCUGUCCUAAGGCAGGGACGUCUCCAAGUGAUUACCAAAACGACCAGGGUCUUCUGUGCAAAAAUAACAUCACACGUGAGCCUCGCGUGACCGCGAACGAAGAAAACCGGGCAGCGGACCGGUCCAACUGGCGGUUGUGACCUAGAUAAGCCCGCAGCGCAAGUUCUGUGACGGGUUUUUUCGGUUUGCAAGUAGGGGGACUUAAGUGCACCCGCAACACAAGUUCUAGGGCCGCCCCGAGCUCCUCGCCCCCGAGCUCCGGCACCGCCGCCCCCGAUCUCCUCCACCGCCCCCGAUCUCCUCCACCGCCACGAGCUCCAUCCACACCUCCGGCCUCCUCCAACGCGGGCUGUCGAAGGUGAGCUCCCCUGCUCCGGAUCCCUCUGUCUCCUCGACCGCCGGCCUCCUCCACAGCGAACUCCGGCCGGCCCUGUUUCCUGUAUUUUUUUUACAGAGCAACACUAUGAAAUGUUGUGUGAUUCUACAACAUGAUCAUCGAGGAUGAGAGAGGAUUUAAACUGCCCUGUUUCUAUGACAAUGCUGGUACUCGUGUGCAACCGGAAAGAAACCCUUGUCGCGUACAAGUUUUUCUUGAAGCACAUCGUCAGAUUGAGGAUGCAAACACUCAUGGUCAGCUCCGGGAUGAUCUAGUAGAGCACUAGAGGCAGUUGGUUGGGCGGCGCCAAGGCUCAUGAUCUACCUUUAUUUACUUUUCUAUGUCCUAUUUGAUUCGAACAAUUAUUAUGUAAUAAGGGUUGGGUUUGAGGGUUCUAGUCUUUGCCUCUCUUUUUCAACAGUUGAUGUAUCUUGUCUUGUGGCCGGCGAUCUAGCCGUGUCCUAAUGGAAUGCAUGCGUUUGUUUCAAAAAAAACCUUAAAAGUGUCAAAAAUGAUCAAUUCUCAACCCUUAAAACUGAUUUUAGAUUUAAGGGUUUGAGGGCACUACUAGACAUGCUCUUAAAGCAUCUACAACCGACCCCUCAUGCCUCCCUUCCCUCAAACGGCCCGGACAAUAAGCACGAGUUGAAUCCUCCCCCACCCUCCGCAUCGCUCGCCGCCUCUCCGCGCCCUUCCUCCCUCCUCCUCUCGUCAUCGCUGACGGCAAGGACCAGCGGGCGAAGCCCGGCUGGCCUUGACGGUGUCGGGGCCUUGUUCCCUCUCACAUCGCCCUCCCCCCCCCCGGUUGGCGCAGGAUAGAUCGGGGCAUGCGAAGGUGAUGUGCUGGCGCAAGGCGCGGCGGUGCGGUGACAAAUGCUUCGGGCGGCGACGCGUGGUUGGCGGCGUGACGCCCCGGGCAUGCUCUUGCGGCACGACGACUGCGGGUCUGUGGUGGGCUAUGGAUGGUGGAAAUCCUUGAUGGACUGCGGCAUCCACGAUGCCGAUGGGGCGCUGUCACCCUUGUACUUCUUGGAGUCGGUAUCGAGUCCUUGCCCAUGGCCCCCUCUCCUAUUCCCGGAUGAAAACCCAAAUCCCCUCGGAUUGGGCGAGAACGACGCCUUGGCGUCCUUUCUUCCUGAAGACAUCGCCUUUGGGACAUGUGAGUGGUGGUCACGGCUUUAACGUGGUCGGUUUGCCGGAUUAUUGAGUUGUUCCUCCUUGACAACGUUCCUUAAUCCGUGUGGUUAUGGCACGAUGCGGUGACGUUGACCUUUGCCGGCGUGGUGGCAUGUUGCCAUCCUCUCCCAGUCCAUCCGAGCUCAAGGGCGAGCUCUCGGAUGGUCGGGCAACGGUAUGGGAGUUGACGGAUGUGCUCUUCCUCUGGAGACGGGCUGUUCCAUUAGCGUGAGACUAUCGGGGGCCUCUCCUGGUGUUGUCGGGGUCCUCGAUGUCCUAGCUGCUAGGGUAGUCAGCACUGUUGUUGUUCAGUAGCAUCUUGUAUCCUGUGUCGCCUAUCACUUUUCUUCUUCUUUUUUUUCAGUUGUUUGGUGGUUGUGUGCUCGACUGUUGCUUUUAUAAUAUGAAAAAAGCGCGGGGGGGGGAGGUGGGGGACUUUUUUGUGAAUUUUAGAAACUUUGGUGAAAAAAACCACAUAUUCAAAAAAUGGUGACAAAUUGUAAGAAUUUAACAAAGAUUUAUUUUCAUGCAAAAACAAAGAUUUAUUUUCAUGAAUUUCAAAUGUUUCGAAUUUUUAAAAUUGUCAAUGAAAUUUAAAGUUCAUGAAUUUUAAAAUAUUAAUGAAAUACUCCCUCCGUCCCAAAAUUCUUGUCUUAGAUUUGUUUAGAUAUGAAUGUAUCUAGUCAAGUUUUAGUAUUUAGAUACAUCCAUUUCUCGACAAAGUUAAGACAAGAAUUUUGAGACAGAGGAAGUAAUAAGCAACCAUGAAAAUCAAACAAUCGUGAAAUAUUUUUAUGUGUAAAUUUAAAAAUAUUCAUCAGUUUAUUAUAUUUUCCCAAAAAUUCUAUUAUUUCUAGAUUUAAGGGGAAAAGUUCAUGAAUUAAAAAUCACACAAGAAAUAAAUAAUAAUAAAACUAACAUGAAAAAUGAACAUAAUGAAUAAGAAAACCUAGAAAAUAACAAUAAAAGAAAAUCAAGCACAACAUAAAAAAUGGCUGGAAGGUUCUACUUGUUUCCAAAAACUGGUAAAAGAUAGACUAUAUGGCCUGGCCCAUCUAAAAAGACUAAGACUGUAGGGGGUACAUAGGGAGCAAUUAGUUAGCGAGCACUCUUCCGGGAGCCUUCAAGCGAUCACUCCCGCACGCCGCCACUUGGCGCGUUCUCAGUCGCCGCCUCUUGUCGCGCUCAGAGCGUUCCCUUUGUAUUUUGCUUUUUUAUUUUUUCGCAUGUGUUUUUGGCUUUUUAGAGUGGUUUUUUACGCAGGGUCGUGCCUCUCGGAAAGGAAAAAACACAUUUUAUGUUCUAUUUUUUUCCGUGAAAGGUACGGUUUUGCUUCCGCAAGAGGCACAAUUUUGCUAUCGCGAGUGCCUCUCGGAAAGAGAAAAAAAAACGCCGGUUUUCUCAUGAUUUUUUUUUGUCAAGAUCUAUCAACAUGGAAUCUAGUUUUAAAGAUCUUGACACGAGAAACCCAACUAUGAAAACAGUUCAAGAUUCGAACGCACGGUUUAGAAGAUAAAAUAUUUUAAAAAUAUGAAUGUACGAAAAAAAAACCUCCAGUAUUACAAUAAGUGAAACACAUAUUAUAUGUCAGUUGUCACAAUAUAUAAAGGCAAAAGUAAUCGUUAGAAGGUAUACUUUUCAACUAGCGAUUUCAAGGUACGCAUUGCGUUCCUAAUAGACGCAACACACGGCGACAAUAUCUCGCUUAGCGUGAGUGCUUCUUCCCUCUAGCCAAAAGUUUCCCUCUCAUGUGUAGCUACUGGGCCAAUACAUAUUUUCUAUUAUUCUCUUCGUAUUUUUGAGUAUAUAUCUAAUACGUUUUUCUAAUACACCUCAACAUUUUUUAAAUAUAAGUUGAACAUGUUUUCAAUAGGUGGUCAACUGUUUUUCCAUAUAGAUUUUUCGAAUAAUUUAUUAUCAUUCUCAUUUUCGCAAAGGUGAAUUGGACAGUGUGAAAUUCGAGACGAUGGUCGCUGCCAGGAUUAAUUGUACAUGCGGUGAGAUAACACCAUUGUACAUGCCGUAAGAUAGCACCGCUCGGUCCGGUCUUUAGCGGACCGAAAGCCUGGCCAAAAGCCCGCUCGCCACGUCCAACCCUAAUCGCAGUCUUGCUCUUGGUUUUUUUUAGGGGUCCUGAAUCGCAGUCCUAUUUGUGCACCCAAAAGCUGGGCCACCAGGGAAGCUAGAGGCCAGAGCUGCACCCCUAGAGCGGAGGGUAGUGGGGCUGCAUCGUCCGCCAUCAAGCAUGGCAGCGCACUCCCGUACCUACUGCCCGUCUUUCAUGCACUCGGGACCGUGAGAUGAACCAACGCCUUCGUCGGCUCUUCGGAGCUCCUCGGUUAUUAGAACAAAGGAAGAUGAACCAACGCCUAUAUUAAUUAAAAUUGUGUGAGAGUUUCAAAAAAAAAUUUGUCUGCCAAUUAAGGACACAUAAUUCCUGUCCUCACAAAGAUUUGCGUUUUCAGCUGUCCGUUUUCAUGUUCUGGACGUUCGGAUCCCUGUGUAUACCCACCUCUCCCGCACUAGCCCAACUGUCCUGUGGGCUGCUGCUCCAGUGGCCGAAAGGAAGACUUCUGCUAAAAUGGGCCACUGAUGAGCCCAUUAUCUAACCGAGGGUCACUCGUGCUUGUAAAAAACAAAUCCUCCCUCGAGGUGAUCCAAGCGGCGCUCAAUAAGGAGGAGAGGAGUAGGAGGAUUGAAGCGGCGCUCGAGGGGAUCGAUCCUAUCGCGCGCUCUGCGGAAAGGGAGAGGAGCGGAUCGAGCGGCCCCUUGCGCAGCGGGGUGUUGCCGUCGACGAACCAAAAGCUGUGGUUGCGACACUUCCUCUAGAGCCAGCAGUCCACCACAACCUGCACCAGCCCUGCUCGGCGAGUCUGAGCGAUGAAGGCACCCCGGCGGCGGGUACACAUCAGACACGCAUGAGGAGUCAGCUGAAUGACCGCAUCAAGGAGUUUGCGAGAUUGAAAUUUAGCACUACACCUUUUUUCGGGGUGAAAGAUAGCAGCACAGGGAAGAGGGUCCAGGUGAGAGACAGUGGGUUCCUCGUUUCAUCUUCCACCCAGAUUACAUUGUUUUAAUGCAUGGUCAAUAUUUUUCCUAUACACAUUUAACAUUUUGAAAAUGUUUACUUAAUCUUUUGUUUUCAAAUGCAAGAGUAACACUUUUUGAAUAGAUUGGUAACAUUUAUUACAUACAUAUUUAUAAUUUUCAAAUGCUUUAUUAAUAUUUUUUGAAUACUUGUUUAGCAUUUGUUUUCAAAUUCUUGAUUUAUUUAAAUAAAAAUACAAGAUAAAAAAUGUCAUACAUGUUGUAUUUGUUUUGUGUAUGUCAGAAAUAAAUUGUAUACACACAUAAAACAUUUUUAAAAUGCCAUGCUUGAUUAACAUUUUAUUUCAAAGAAAUUAUGGAAAAAAAUUGUAAUAUAUUUAUUUAGAAUAUUUAAAAGUAUAAGGAAAAAUAAAAAAAUCAAGUAAUAAAUAAAAAGUAGAAAACAUGAGAAAAACGAGGCUAUGACCUCCCAUGCGACUGGGCCAACCCAAGUUGUGACUCGCUUCAAACGAGGCUUCCAUAUGUCAUGUGAAGCAGACAUAGUGGCGCCCGAUGCAACAGGCAUCACAUGUCUCACGUGAAGCCGGCAUAGUGGCGCCCGAUGCAAAAUACAUCAAAUAGGGUUCAUCGCUGGGUUUGUUUUGGAGAUAUAAUGAUUUCCUGCUUAAAAAGGAAUCCUGUACGUUUUUAGCCAGAGUGAUUUGUAUCUUAUUUUCUUAUUUUUUACCAAUUUCGUAGAGGUGAAAACUGUCCGAUUGAAAAAAAAAUUACGAUAGGCAUUUCUCCAUGCCUCGGGCUUCGGAAGUACUAAUGUGCUAGCAUAAAAGUUUACACUGGAAAAGUAUGCACCGAAGGAACGGACAGUUAUACUUACUUGAGAGGAAUAUUUCUUCCCAGUCAUGCACAGUUGCAUUUUCUAACUAGUUGAUUAAAUAUUCUCUAGUGUGGUAGUGGUAACUGGGAACGUGAUUGUUGCUACAAUGAAAGGAAGAAAAUCAAACACCCUUUAGAGCAAUGGAUGCAGCUCAAGCGGUAGCCUGUCUGAAAGGAUUAAUUGUUAGAUAUUCUGCCUAGAUGCGAUUGUAAAAUACUCCCUCCGUCCGAAAAUAGUUGUCUUCGAAAUGAAUGUAUCUAGACUUAUUUUAGUUAUAGAUACAUCCAUUUUAUUUAUUUCUAGGACAAGUAUUUCCGGACGGAGGGAGUAGAAGUAAACUGACGCGCGCUGAUGCCGACCACGAUCAGCUAUUGCCGCAGAAGCUGUUUGGAUUGCGCAGUUUCAGAUUAGUCGGUGGUUUCAGAGCUAGACCCACGUACAUCUUCAUCGGCAGAGCACAGCAGGGCAUAUAUAUAGCUCUCUGGCUUGGGUUGGAUGUGGCACUUUGGGUCAGUCAACUCAUACUCAUACUCAUACUCAUACUCAUACAUGUCCCGGUGUCAUGUCUUGUCCUGGUGAUGCUACCCGCUGCUGCUGCCAGCUUCUCGCAGCCUGACUAUGACGAGCUGAGGAACCUUUAAUUAUCCCGAUCAACCCUUAUACAUACAUAGUGAAAGCAGAGUGGGCAAGUUGUCGGUACCUGUCCCGUUUCCUAAUACAUACUCCCUUCGUCCCAUAAUACUAUAAAACGUUUUUAACACUACACACUAAUUGAGUACUUAGCAGCUUACAUCAUCAACUCAAUCCAAGAAAAUACCACUAUAUAAAAGGGAGGGACCUAAUAAUACGCACAUACAUGAAUACUCUAUUAAAAUAGACGAAAAAGGAAGUUGAAUACAGCUAGUGAUUUCAACUCCUCAGAACGGACUUGUUUUCAAUCUCCGCGAGCUGGCCUUGCAGGUGCUCCUCAAACUCGGUGUACCUACCCCAAUAGGACACAUCCAACAUAAAUUCCUUGAGGUUUUUGAGACAUGCUAACCCCGAGAACAACCCAACACUGGGACUGUCCCAACCACAAUACUGCAGCAGCUCAAGCUUAGGGGCCGCUCCGUCUUCAAAUCCCACCGACUUGAGGUUUCCUAUCCUAUGCAGCUGCAGCACCUUCAGGCUCGGGAAUGCAUCCACACAGAAACUGAAACGGACCUCUUCACCAACGAACGACUCACGCAAUAGACGUAGGGUGGCCAGGUUUGGUAGACUCCCAAGGACAUGUAUGGCUGCAUCAUGCUCCGAUAUCCUCGACCUCAAUAGCUUCAGCUUCACUA
This 64106-nucleotide long non-coding RNA is filed under the name Hordeum vulgare. RNAcentral's name for it is "long non-coding RNA (HVUL_LNC008347)". The stretch from base 59482 to 59617 matches the Rfam family "MIR1120/MIR1122 microRNA precursor family". The record is from RNAcentral. Lineage: Eukaryota; Viridiplantae; Streptophyta; Magnoliopsida; Poales; Poaceae.